UUUUAAGUUUCUUUAGAUCUUGGUUUGAACAUUUUUGUUCUUUCUUUCAGGUUUCUGUUGUGGAGAUGGAUGGGCAAUUCGAUAGACUGGACGAGCUGAUUUACGUGGAGAGCCAUCUGAGCAACCUCUCAACCAAAUUCUACGGUGAAGUGACUCAACAAAUGCUCAAACAUGCUGACUUCCCUGGUAGCAACAACGGAACUGGUCUUUUCCAGACCAUUGUAGGAUUGAAAAUCAGAGAUCUCUAUGAGCAGCUCAUUGCCAACAAAGCCAAUGCUCCUACAGAAGCUGCUAAAGCCUAAAACAAAUAAGCAAAACAGAACGCGUCGAUAAACCCAUUGGUUGUUUCUUCUUCUUUCUUUCUUUAUGCUUUGUUUCCGCGGAUUUUCAUGGAGAAAAGGACGGUGUUGCGAUUACCAAAAAAAAAAAAGGACGGUGUUGCAUGUUUGUUAUUUGUGUGGAGAUAUAAAAAGAAAAGCAUGUAAUGUAGAAAAUUUAUUAGCAGAGCAAUAACAAUUAAGUUAGUACAAUGCUUUUAUCUAUUGAUAAAAGUAGAUUAAAACCGAAAAUCAACCUUUAAGCAAAAGAAUGAAUUAAAGGUUUCUUCCUGUUGAUCAUACUCAUGUAUUUUAGUAUGUAUCUAACAUAGAUACAUAUUGAUUUCGAGUUACAGAAGUGCACUGGUAAAAACUUGCCUUUGAUGCCUUCUGGAUCAGAGAGAAAUCCACAACUGCAUGAAACAUUCAAGGGAAAAAAUAUCUAAAUAUAUUUUCUUCAAAAAGGAAAUACAUCUAAAUAUUUUUAUCACCUUGGCUAUCUGCAAAAGGAGAUAUAUAUUACCAAUAUAUUUUUGAAGAAGAGCCCUUACUAGCUUUUCACAAGAGCUUUACCAAGCCCUUGACCCUGAAACCAAAAAUAAAAGAACAAUUCUUAACAUUAAACACAGUUCCAAAACAGAAACUUCAUUUUUUUUUUGUUAACUGAUAUCUAGGAUCAACAAGAACAUGGACCCUAAAGUGUAGCACUAAAGAAUGAUCCUACGUCGCACCAUUUCAUUUAGCUUCUUCCUCUGCUGUUGAUAAUUAUCGCCUUAUGUGGUCUUCAAUGGAAAGCAUUUGUAAAAACAUAAUAUUACUAAUUAUUCAAUCAACUACUAAACCAUUUAUAGUAGCAUUUAGAAGCUGCAAAAAUGUUCUCCAGAUAAUCUUUAUUCAAUGUUUUUAUAUGAAACUUUUGAUAAAACAUUAUCAUUUAUAUAUAAAAAUUAAAAAUUAUUUUAUAUAAUUUAUUAAUUUUAGUUAAUAAUAUCAAAAAUUAUAUUUAUAUUCAAUUUAUUAAAUUUAUAAUUUUAAAACUAAAAUUUAUAAUUAAUAUUUCUAAUUUUUAACAAUGAAGGCAAAGUGUUGAGAGUGAGAUUGAUAAUGAAAGAAGGUGUUAAGUACUUCAGCCCGGUUUACCUAUUCGAUGAAGGUUCAACCAUCUCGUGGAUCCCUUGUGGUCGCAAACUCACCUGCUCCUACCCUGGCAUCAAGUUCAACUACCAACCUGAUUCCUACUUCGACAAUGAGGUGCAUUCAUUUGUCUCUUUAGGUUACAGAAUGAGUUUUAAGUUUCUUUAGAUCUUGGUUUGAACAUUUUUGUUCUUUCUUUCAGGUUUCUGUUGUGGAGAUGGAUGGGCAAUUCGAUAGACUGGACGAGCUGAUUUACGUGGAGAGCCAUCUGAGCAACCUCUCAACCAAAUUCUACGGUGAAGUGACUCAACAAAUGCUCAAACAUGCUGACUUCCCUGGUAGCAACAACGGAACUGGUCUUUUCCAGACCAUUGUAGGAUUGAAAAUCAGAGAUCUCUAUGAGCAGCUCAUUGCCAACAAAGCCAAUGCUCCUACAGAAGCUGCUAAAGCCUAAAACAAAUAAGCAAAACAGAACGCGUCGAUAAACCCAUUGGUUGUUUCUUCUUCUUUCUUUCUUUAUGCUUUGUUUCCGCGGAUUUUCAUGGAGAAAAGGACGGUGUUGCGAUUACCAAAAAAAAAAAAGGACGGUGUUGCAUGUUUGUUAUUUGUGUGGAGAUAUAAAAAGAAAAGCAUGUAAUGUAGAAAAUUUAUUAGCAGAGCAAUAACAAUUAAGUUAGUACAAUGCUUUUAUCUAUUGAUAAAAGUAGAUUAAAACCGAAAAUCAACCUUUAAGCAAAAGAAUGAAUUAAAGGUUUCUUCCUGUUGAUCAUACUCAUGUAUUUUAGUAUGUAUCUAACAUAGAUACAUAUUGAUUUCGAGUUACAGAAGUGCACUGGUAAAAACUUGCCUUUGAUGCCUUCUGGAUCAGAGAGAAAUCCACAACUGCAUGAAACAUUCAAGGGAAAAAAUAUCUAAAUAUAUUUUCUUCAAAAAGGAAAUACAUCUAAAUAUUUUUAUCACCUUGGCUAUCUGCAAAAGGAGAUAUAUAUUACCAAUAUAUUUUUGAAGAAGAGCCCUUACUAGCUUUUCACAAGAGCUUUACCAAGCCCUUGACCCUGAAACCAAAAAUAAAAGAACAAUUCUUAACAUUAAACACAGUUCCAAAACAGAAACUUCAUUUUUUUUUUGUUAACUGAUAUCUAGGAUCAACAAGAACAUGGACCCUAAAGUGUAGCACUAAAGAAUGAUCCUACGUCGCACCAUUUCAUUUAGCUUCUUCCUCUGCUGUUGAUAAUUAUCGCCUUAUGUGGUCUUCAAUGGAAAGCAUUUGUAAAAACAUAAUAUUACUAAUUAUUCAAUCAACUACUAAACCAUUUAUAGUAGCAUUUAGAAGCUGCAAAAAUGUUCUCCAGAUAAUCUUUAUUCAAUGUUUUUAUAUGAAACUUUUGAUAAAACAUUAUCAUUUAUAUAUAAAAAUUAAAAAUUAUUUUAUAUAAUUUAUUAAUUUUAGUUAAUAAUAUCAAAAAUUAUAUUUAUAUUCAAUUUAUUAAAUUUAUAAUUUUAAAACUAAAAUUUAUAAUUAAUAUUUCUAAUUUUUAAAAGAAUAAUAUUUCAAAUUUAAAAUAAAAUUUACUAUAUAUAACUUUCAAUAACAAAAGAACUAAAAAUUAAAUAUAUAAUAAAUAAUAUUUAUAAAAUAAAAAUUAUAUAUCAUAUAAUUUUAUAUGAUAAUUUUAUAUAUAAACAUUUACUGUUUUUGACUAAAAAUUUUCAAAUUAGAAACAUAAACUAUUACGUGAUAAGACGAAAAGUAUUAGUUUGGUAAAAUUUGCAUGAAAUAAUUUCAUGAAAGACCCAAUCCCAAACCUAUGAAACAAUAAAGGUAGAGAUUAGAAGAGCCAACAAUGCAAUAAAAUAAAAUAUCUACUAAUAAUAACCACGACCACAUCGGCUAUAUUUUCUUCUCCCUCAGACCAUCUUCCAUUCUAUGGCUUGGUAUUUAUAAGAGGUUUUAUCUCCCUCCUACCUCUUGUCAAGCUGAGUGAGCUAGAUUACUCUAUUUCAACUUCAUCCACAACUCCUAAUACUGUGAAGCGAGAAAGACUCUCAAAUAUACUAGCUUGAGGAAUUGUGGUUAACGGAUCAAGGACCAAUGUUUCAUGGACCUCAUUGUUAAUAUUGCUUGAUGGAGAAAAUUCUAUAAUGGAUGAUGUAGCGGGAGAGUGUUAAAUGAGAUGAUCGAACCAACAUGAUUCUCCUCCUGAAAAUGAAAAGAAAAGUAGAUAGUUGUGAACCUUUAUUCACUUGUACCAUGGCUGUUCAUAGUAGCAUCCGAAGGAGCCAAAGGAAGCUGAGGAUCAACCUCCAAAACCGGCUACAAGGCAAGAUUGAUGUUAGAUUCGGAUUGGAGACCUUACAUCUCUUUGGUAUGAUCUUGAGACACAUGGGCAUUAGAUUCAGAAGUGGUAAAGAAGAAGUUUUCAUUGGCCUUUAGAUCCUUUGAAGGGUAGGGUGGUGACGAGGUAGCAUUAUCACUCUGUUGUAAGAUAAGAUCAAUACCUACAACCGGAAUCUCAACACUAAUAGUUUAUGCAUUUGAUGGCAAAGCUGAAUCACGUGGAGGCUUAUGAGGGAGGAAACAUCUCUUUGCUUUAUGGUCUAAGUUACUGUUGGAGGAUGGGCCGCCGGCCCAUUCGCGAGUUGGACACCAAAGGACAAGCCUAGCAAAGGUCCACGUCGAAGGAAGAACAUCUGCGGCGCACGCAAAGAACAGGAGCCUAAGGCGUAUAGCCUGCACCGACUGCCGAUUGUAGACAGAACACCUAAGCAAGCGAUAAGGUAAUUGAUGAGUGCCGAACCAACUACCUGACACACAACCACUACGAAGCGGUUAAGACGCAUCCAAACGGGUAUAAAUAGAGAAGAACAUUGAAUGAAGAAGAGGCAGCAAAAUAGAGAAAGAAAGACUAGAGAGAUAAAGUAGAGAGAAUCCCGAGUUCGUCUUUACGACUACGAGUUCUUCUUUUAUUUUUUCGCUUCGGCUUCUUGUAAACACUUCAUUAAACGAAACUUUUGGCCCCAUUAAUCAUACUUAUAUCUUUGUUUAGUCUAUAAAUCUCUUGUUACUGGAUUUAGGAUUCAACAAUUGGCGCCCACCGUGGGACUGAAAGGUUUCUAACGCACAAAGUCAGCAAAACAAACGAACACUGAAAUGUCCUCCACAUCCGGGGGACCGACCCCAAAAGCCGGCGAACGACAGCCCUCGAGCACAGCAACCGACGGCUCAUCUGAAGUAGGAAAAAGCAGCCAAACAAAUCCGGGAAGCGCUCGCCCUCCGACCAACGCAGCCAUUGACGCUAUGCUAUCAACGGCAAAAAACGCCUCCUCGACGACGCCCUCCACGGCACGCACAAGUCACCCUGUCGAACCAACGGCGAGUGCAGCACCUCCGGCGCAAAUGACCAUUUACCCAAAGGAACCCUCGAACACAGACACAUGGAAUACGCCGAACGCCGACCUAGCAAUGAUGCUGCGAACCUUACUAGAAAAGGUAAACGAUCUCACCCGCGCGAAAAUAGGAGCCGACAAUCAAGGCCCCGAAUCAACCCAGGGUCAGGAGGAGGAGAUAGCCAACUUACGAAGCGCCAAGCGCAUACCCGCAGGAUUAGCAGCACAAAUCCAAAGAGACCUCUUCGGAGAUUCAGACACGCCGAUACAAAGACAAGAAACACCCGCUCCCGACCAAGGCCAAAGCAACCCGGAGGACGCGGACCGAGACAAAGCAAUAAAGGAACUGCAAGCGACCCUGAAAGACAUGAAUUCUCGUGUACAUCAGGCCACGAGUGCGGCACCAGAAAUAGACCGUGUACUAAAAGAAACCCAAAACUCCCGUUCACCUCCAGGAUCUACAAUAAGCCGACACAACACAUAGGAAAAAUAAGAUUCCCGACCUACGACGGAAACUCAGACCCCCGUCAGUACAUGAUCGCUUUCACCAUAGCCAUGGAACGAACCAACUUCACCCCAGACGAGAAAGACGCCGGAUACUGUCAGCUCUUCGUAGAAAAUCUCAGCGGACAGGCCCUCAGCUGGUUCUCAAGGCUCGAAUCCGGUUCGAUCGACAGCUACCAACAACUGUCCACGGCUUUCCUUAAACACUACUCGAUAUAUAUCGAGGACGGAGCAACAGAAGCAUAUCUUUACACUCUGUCCCAGGAACGAACCGAAUCCCUCAGAAGCUUCAUCGGAAGAUUCAAAAAGAUCGUGUCUUGUGUCAAAGUACCGGACAAGAUAGCCACAACGGCCUUGAUCAACGCCCUGUGGUACGAAUCGAAGCUGCGCAAAGACCUCAAGAUAAACAAAACACAAACACUCCAAGAUGCGCUUCACAGGUCAAACUUGUUUAUUGAACUAGACGAAGACAAGCAGGCAAUGGCUAAGAAAUACGCAGCAACAAGGACGGUCGUAACCAAAGAUGAACCGAAAGAAGAAUGCCGCGAGUCACGAAGUCGAUCGGAGACAGAACGAAAGAAAGAAGAAGGUGAUCGAAAGGCCCUGAGCUUCCACGUCAGUGACGUGCAGAGACCACCAAAACAAGCCUGGAACAAAUGGUCCCGAGAGAACGAUUUAACAAGGUACUGCGAAUUUCACAAGAGGAACGGGCAUUCAAUGAUGGAAUGCAGGCACUUGCAAGAAUACGUACUUGGGAAGUAUCAAAGAGGCGAAAUCAAACCCCCAGACGGUGAAAGAACCAGGACCGACGAUAACCGAAGGGAUGACCGCCGUAGAAUGCCGCCAAGAAGAGAGCCGAUCCGCAUGGAGCGUGAGGUCAAAAACGAAAACUGCAUAGAGAUGAAAUCUCCAAAAAGAGAGCGCCCAGAAGAACGGCCAGAAGACAACCUCCCACCUCCACCGCGAAGACGAAUCAACAUCAUCAUGAGAGGAACCCCUCAAGCAGCGAGAAUAGCCGUAACCACCGAAGGAUCAGGCGCGCCCAAGGACGACACCACCUACAACCAAAUCAAACAUCCCCCGGUGAAGUUCAGCAACAGAGAUAGCAUAGGACUAGACUCCCCACACAACGACCCCCUGGUCAUCGCGUUAACCAUUACCGAUUUCGAAGUACCUCGAAUCCUGAUAGACACCGGGAGCUCCGUCGACGUAAUUUUCAAAGAUGCCCUAAGGAAGAUGGGCAUAGACGAAAGCCGCAUAAAACCCGAAAGGAGUCCCUUAGUCAGCUUUGCAGGAGACACCACCAUAUCAGAAGGAACAGUCAAAGUCCCAGUGUACGUGAUGUUAAGAUUUUUCAAGGCUCCUAAGGCAAAUGUUGUAGUAUAGUGUUUGUCGAACCAGUUCUGAGAGAUUUCAAAGCACUGAGAAUGCAAGUACUCACUUAAUCUAAGUGCAACCAAUGAUUUAAAAGGUUUCUAAACUAAUGAUUAAUGAUAAAUGAAAUGACUUUCUUUACUAAGGGAAAAGAGAACUCAUGGGCAUAGGGAUUAGACUUUGGGUGAUCAAGUAUUGAACUAAGGAUGGCAAAUGAUCAAUCAAACUAUCAACCUUAAGCCUAGACACAAUUCUAAGCAAGCUCUAUGUCUUGAUGAAUGCUCAUUUGCUAACAUAUCUCAAACAUCAAAUGUCUUUGGUUGAAUAAUAUGAAAGCAAUCAUUACUAACAAGUCUAUUAGCUAUCUUAGCACCUUUAACAACAAAUGUCUUUGGCAAAGUAUACUAAAAGCCUAGGAGAGUUGUCUCAGGCAUUUCAUCAAACACCUUUUGGGUGGGAAAUGUCUAUUGAUCAACUUUUGAGUGGCCAACUCAGAAGAUGCAUUAUGAAUACUCUACUAGCAAGGAACAAGAAUGAUCUACACUAAAACAUCCUAGAACUAACCUAAUCACCCUUAAUCUCCCUAACCCAUGAAUUCAAAAGGUGAUUACUCACUAAUCUCCAUGAUUCCUCUUAAACCCAUAUUGGAUUUCAGAUUAAUCAUGUAGAGAAAUAGAUAAGAAAUCAACAAGAACACAAGAACAUAACAAUCAAAAUCCAAGAGAUAAACUUCUCAAGAGAGUUUUUGUGUAUUUCUCAAUAGAUCCAAAAGAUAAUCUCCUCCUCCUGGUGUCUUACCGAGUAUUAAAAACAUAGGUUUAGAAAAUAAAAACGUGCAUAAUGAAAUGACCAAAAGGCCCUUGAGAAAACAUGAAUUCGGCCAAACAAAUAGACGUGGAGCGACCUCGGCACGUCGCUGCGAGAGGUCGCUCCCGGGUCGUUUCUUCGCGAGCGACCUGGCUGUGUCGCUCCGAAGACGUCGCUCCCGGGUCGUUCCUCGCGAGCGACCUGGCUGUGUCGCUCUGAACUGGUCGCUGUGGUGAGGUCGCUCUAGGAGCUGGAGCGACUUCGCCUUAUCGCUCUGAACUGGUCGCUCUAGGAGCUGGAGCGACUUCGCCUUGUCGCUCUAUGAGGUCGCUCCGAAGCGUAUAGGGCGAGCGAGUUCAUGGCGUCGCUCCGGUAGGUCGCUCUGGCUGGAGUGACUUGAGAUAGUCGCUCUGGGCUGGUCGCUCCAGGCAGUGCUCGUCCAAAGAUCACUCUAAUCACCUCCUUUGAGCUCCAAAUGCACCCAAGUGUCUCCAGGAACUCCAUGUGGCACUCCAACACCUGAUAGAGACUCAUGUAUGCAGAAUGUAACCUAAACAUGGCUAAAUCCUAGUCUAUAUGAUCAAAAUGCACAUGGAUGAAUGGAUAAGAUAAUGGAAAUAUGCAAGAUAUCAACUCCCCCAAACUUGUUCUUUUACUUGUCCACAAGUGAACUUUCUAGAACUCAUAGGGAGAGAGGUUUGAAGGUGGGAGCUCAUAGCCAAAAGAAACACAACUAGUACUCGAUUCAACAUCUAAUCCAGCAUGAGCACACUCUCUUAUUACACUCUAGCUUCUCUAGGUCUAUCUGAACUCUUUUCAUCCCUACACUCAUCAUCAUGCAUCCACACAUUCAAAUCAACCAACUCUCACAUUCAUUAAGCACAAAACAUCAGGUGAAUUCUUGCAAAUGGUAAGUUGGUCCAAGUCAUUUGGUUGGGUGAGGGAAGGCUUUUAUUCAAGUGAUUCAAGAGGUUCGAAACAUAAAAUCUUUAAGGUGGUUUACUCUCGAAACAAGUAGCCUUGACAUUGCACAUAAUAUAUCUAAGAAAGGGAUCAACUCAUGCAUACAAUGCUCAAUCUCCAUUGUUCUACCCUUUUCCCAAACAUACAAUUACACAAUCAUUCUCAAAUGUCAAACCCAACUCACAUCUCUCACCAAAAGAUCCUAAGAACAUUAACUCCUUCUCUUUGAAAUCUACAAGGGAUUUUUCACAACCUCAAAACAUUACUUAGCUCCUAACAACUUUGCUAGCCCCCUUUUUCUUUCUUUUUCUUUUCUUUUCAUAUUUUAUUUUUUUUUUUUUUUUUUAAAUGGGGGCCAAGACUUUUCAUAACUUGAGCUAGAGGUUUUUCUACUUAUCCCAGUAAGACAAUUCACUUAAACACAAAGAGUCAUUUCUUUUCCUUUUUCAUUGCUCCCAAAUCAUAAUCACAACUCUCACCCCCCACCUAUAGCUAGACAAUAGAGUGCCCAAUCUAGCAAGAAUGAAGAUCAAGCAUUGUCGUUCCCGAUACUCUCAACAUUAUGCACAUGUAAGACUUUCCGAAGAAGGCCUCACUCAUCAAACAAUGAAAGCUUAAAAGGAGGGAAAGGUUUUGGGAGUGGUCUACCACUAGAGUUUGUCAAAAUAAGAUUGGCAUAAAGGAUGUGACAACUCAAGUGUGUAUAGCCAUGACUCAGUACACAAGGGACCAUGAGCAAGAAGCAUUAAGUUCGUUCAGUUCAAAUAAGGUUGUAGUUGGCUUCAAAGACUGAGUUUCAGCAAUCAACAAGUUUCAGGAAGAGUCUUCAAGGCUCGAAGCAUACAAGUGUUUUUGAGAGGUGCAUAAGCUAUUCAGGUGCAAAGUAAUGUUCUUUACAAGGCAUUUCAAAUCAUUGCUCCCAAUGCAAGUAAAUGCAACCUAUAUGCUCUAGACUCUCCUAGAAAUGCCAAUGAUGCAAACUAAAUGAAUUUUUUUUUUUUUUUUUUUUUUAAUGCAAAUAUAUAUGUAUAAUGCAAUGCAUGAGACUCAAAAUCAUCAAAGCAAACGUGAUCAAAUACUUGGUACCUCCCCCAAACUUAAAUGACACAGUCUCUGUGUUGUCAAGGAGAGAGAGAUACCCAAAAAGAGAAAACUAAUAUGCAAAAACGAAAUGGUAUAUACAAGGGAAAGUAGUGGGUUACCUUCUAUGGAGAAUGAGUAGAGGGAGAUGCUCCCUCCUCGUCGUCCUCAGGUGGUAACUCUUCAAGGUGCUCAUCAGCAAGAGUGCCCAUCUCUUCAAUGUAGAAGGCUUGCCCGAACACAGUUGGUUUCUUCAUUUUCUCCUUGAUGUCAAAGUGGAGAACAUGCCCUUUACCCAAAUGGAGAUCAAUCGUGCCCUCUUUCACCUUAACAAUUGCUCCUGCUGUAGCUAAGAAUGGCCUUCCAAGAAUCAAUGGGUCCUGAGCCUCCUCACCCAUCUCAAGCACCACAAAAUCUGUAGGUAUCUCAUACCUUCCAAUCUUCACAGGUAGGUCCUCUAAGAUGCCCACAGGGUACUUCACUGAACGAUCAGCUAACACCAGAGAGAGUCUACACUUCUUGUACUGAGUGAAUCCAAGCUUCUUUGCAACAGACAAAGGCAUCACGCUGACACUAGCUCCCAAAUCGCAGAGACAUUUCUCAAAUACCAUAGGUCCAAGAGCACAAGGUAGUGUGAAGCAUCCUGGAUCCUCUAACUUCUCUGGAACAUCAAGCCUCUGGAUGAUGGCACUGCACUCAUGGGUAAGAAUCAUCAUGCUUUCCAUUUCCUUCUUCUUUGCAGCUACAACAUCUUUCAGGAACUUGUUGUAUUGAGGAAUCAACAUGAAAGCAUCGAUGAUGGGCAUUGCAACCUGAGCUUCACUCAUUUGCUUCUCAAACAAAGCCUUGUACUUCUCUAGCAGCUGCCUCUUGAAUCUACCAGGGAAUGGUAGUUUGGGUUCAUAGGGAGGAGGAACAAAAGAAUUCUCACUUGCUGGAGCAAGAACUUCACCAUCUUUCACUGUUUUCUUCUCUUCCCCAACCUUUCCUUUACCCUUGGCUUCCACAAUCUUCUCCAAGAUUUCAUCAUUGAUUUUCUCAUCAACAAUCACCACUUCAUCAUCUAAGUUUAUGGCCACCUCCUCACCUAGUUUCGCAGCAUCCCUGGUGAGGGUUGUAGGAGGUAACUGCUUACCACUCCUAAGGGUGAUAGCUUUGGCCUCCUUGGGGUUUUGGUCAGAUUUUCCAGGUAGAGAUCCUUGCUGGCGAGUCUGGUGAGUGUUCAUGGAAGCAAACUGAUUCUCUAAAUUCUUGACUGUAGAAGCAAGAUGUGAGAACUUGUUGUUGAGCUCAUUGUAGCUCCCAUCAAUCUUGGAAUGAAGGUUCUUCAACUCAUAACCAACAUGCUUCUCACUUCUAGUCUGAGACUCAAAGAUUUUUUCACUAAGGUAUCAGUGCUGCUCUCUUGAGGAGCAGAGGAACCAGAUGAGGAGUUUUGCUGAGGUUGAUAGCUGCCUUGCGGGUUGUUUCGAGGCGGAUAACCACUCUGUUGGUUGUUGGGAUAGAAUUUCUGUUGGUAGUUGUUGUACUGAAAGUUGGGCUCCUUUUUGUACCAGCUACCAUUGUUGUUAAUGAAACACAACUCCUCUUGACCUUCCAAACCCUCAACCUCAUUGACAGCAGGUGGAUCAUCCUGCUUGGAGUUACCAACAAACUUCAGCUGCUCUUGGGUGGCUUUUUCAGCAAUGAGUAGGUCGAUCUUGUCUUCCAAAGCUUUGAUCUCUUUCCUCGUCUGCUUAUCAUCACCCCUACUGCCUCUGUCGUGGUCUGCACUGUAGACUGCAUCACUCUUCACCAUGUUGUCAACCAGCUCUUCUGCAUCAUCUUCAGUUCUUCCCAAGAAGAACCCAUUGCUAGCUGUAUCCAAUCUGGCUCUGUACUUAGGAAGGACACCUCUGUAGAAGGUACUGAGCAAGCUCUCCUUAGAGAAACCAUGAUGUGGGCAUUUGGUUUGAUAGCCUUUGAAUCUCUCCCAGGCUUCACUGAAUCCUUCCAAGUUCUUCUGUUGGAAACUGGAGAUCUCAUUUCUCAGCUUAGCAGUUCUUGAGGAUGAGAAGAAUUUCUCCAAGAAUGCUCUCUUGCACUCAUCCCAAGUAGUGAUAGAGUCGCUGGGUAGAGACUUCUCCCACUGACGUGCCUUAUCCCCCAAAGAGAAAGGGAAUAACUUCAGCUUUAAGGCAUCCUCUGACACACCAUUGGUUUUUGACAACCCACAGUAGCUGUCGAACCUGUCCAAGUGAUCGAAUGGGUCCUCUAAAGCCAAGCCAUGAUAUUUGUUGUUCUCGAUCACGUUGAGGAGUCCUGACUUGACCUCAAAGUUGUUGGCUGCCACAGCCGGUGCUCGGAUUCCUAGUCUAUGACCAAGAAUGUUGGGCCGGUCAUAAGUACCAAUGGGUCGAGCUGCCCGCGGUUGGUGUUCUGCCCCUUGCGGUGGAUCUGCCAUAUCAAUAUCCAAUCUCUGCAAGUGGGCUUGUUGUUCUUCUUCUCUUCUAGCUCUAGCACACUCCCUCUCGAAAGCUCUGAUGUCUGCUACUAUUGGAACUAGGUUUGAUGGACCCCUGCUCCUCAAGUUCAUACACCUGAAAGUUAAAGGUAGGUGAAGAAGAUGAAUCAGUAACAAAAGAAAAUAAAAAUGACUUAGUCUCAAGUAAGUGACUAAAUCUCAAUGUUCAAUCUACUCAGAAUUUGGCAACGGCGCCAAUUUGAUGUUAAGAGUUUUCAAGGCUCCUAAGGUAAAUGUUGUAGUAUAGUGUUUGUCGAACCAGUUCUGAGGGAUUUCAAAGCACUGAGAAUGCAAGUACUCACUUAAUCUAAGUGCAACCAAUGAUUUAGAUGGUUUCUAAACUAAUGAUUAAUGAUAAAUGAAAUGACUUUCUUUACUAAGGGAAAAGAGAACUCAUGGGCAUAGGGAUUAGACCUUGGGUGAUCAAGUAUCGAACUAAGGAUGGCAAAUGAUCAAUCAAACUAUCAACCUUAAGCCUAGACACAAUUCUAAGCAAGCUCUAUGUCUAGAUGAAUGCUCAUUUGCUAACAUAUCUCAAACAUCAAAUGUCUUUGGUUGAAUAAUAUGAAAGCAAUCAUUACUAACAAGUCUAUUAGCUAUCUUAGCACCUUUAACAACAAAUGUCUUUGGCAAAGUAUACUAAAAGCCUAGGAGAGUUGUCUCAGGCAUUUCAUCAAACACCUUUUGGGUGGGAAAUGCCUAUUGAUCAACUUUUGAGUGGCCAACUCAGAAGAUGCAUUAGGAAUACUCUACUAGCAAGGAACAAGAAUGAUCUACACUAAAACAUCCUAGAACUAACCUAAUCACCCUUAAUCUCCCUAACCCAUGAAUUCAAAAGGUGAUUACUCACUAAUCUCCAUGAUUCCUCUUAAACCCAUAUUGGAUUUCAGAUUAAUCAUGUAGAGAAAUAGAUAAGAAAUCAACAAUAACACAAGAACAUAACAAUCAAAAUCCAAGAGAUGAACUUCUCAAGAGAGUUUUUGUGUAUUUCUCAAUAGAUCAAAAGAUAAUCUCCUCCUGGUGGCUUACAGAGUAUUAAAACAUAGGUUUAGAAAAUAAAAACGUGCAUAAUGAAAUGACCAAAAGGCCCUUGAGAAAACAUGAAUUCGGCCAAACAAAUAAACGUAGAGCGACCUCGGCACGUCGCUGCGAGAGGUCGCUCUCUGGUCGUUUCUUCGCGAGCGACCUGGCUGUGUCGCUCCGAAGACGUCGCUCCCGGGUCGUUCCUCGCGAGCGACCUGGCUGUGUCGCUCUGAACUGGUCGCUCUAGGAGCUGGAGCGACUUCGCCUUGUCGCUCUAGGAGGUCGCUCCGAAGCGUAUAGGGCAAGCGAGUUCAUGGCGUCGCUCCGAUAGGUCGCUCUGGCUGGAGUGACUUGAGAUAGUCACUCUGGGCUGGUCGCUCCAGGCAGUGCUCGUCCAAAGAUCACUCUAAUCACCUCCUUUGAGCUCCAAAUGCACCCAAGUGUCUCCAGGAACUCCAUGUGGUACUCCAAUACCUGAUAGAGAAAUAUGUAUGCAAAAUGCAACCUAGACAUGACUAAAUCCUAAUCUAUAUGAUGAAAAUGCACAUGAAUAAAUGGAUAAACAAUGUGAAUAUGCAAGAUAUCAGUACGUAGGAAACACCCACCGAGCAGUACGAUUUACAAUAAUCGACAAGCCAAACAUCUACAACACAAUCUUCGGAACCCCCUGGAUCAACUCAAUGAAAGCGGUACCGUCAACCUACCACCAAUGCAUCAAGAUCCCGCUACCGGAUGGGGUUUGCACGAUCAAAGGAAGCCAAAGCACAUCCAGAGCGUGCUUCGUGGCAGAACGGAAAACGAGGGAACGAAAGGGGAAACCCGACGACAACGACAAGAAAUUAAAAGAAAAACUUCAACGGCGAAAGAGAGCGUCCGAAAAAGAUACCAAGAUCAAGCACAUCAUAAUCAGAAGAGAAGGCACCACCCCCCAAGACGAAGGAAAACAAACGUCACAAAAAGAAAAGUAAAACGCCGUCCAGAAAACUAAAGAAGAAACGCUGCCAUCGUCGUCAUCACCAUCAUCGCCAACCAAGCACGACCCGAAGAAAACAACCACCGACAUCAACGACUGAAGCAAUUCAAAACCCGAGCUCGCGGAAUAGGCAUCACACAUGGAAACGCUUAGCCCGCGACCUUAAAAAAAAAAAAAUGGACGGAGUUCCAUAUGAACUACGUAUGGCUUGAUCCCCUCGGGGUAUGUAAGCUGCCCACAGAAAAGGGUCCAGCCAUAAUACCAACUAAAGAAGAAACGCUCUCGGCGAAGGGCCUAAAAACCCCGACCCGACAGCGAAGCCGAGGCCAGACUCGCACGGGUCGGUGAUCGGAUAAGCCGUAUCGAGCUUUGCUCAUGCACUUAUCUCGGUCCUACCUUACAGGGGAUAAGCCGGGAUGAGUCCCGCCCUCCGCCCAAAGAAGAAACGCUCUCGGCGAAGGACCUAAAAACCCCGACCCGACAGCAAAGCCGAGGCCAGAUUCGCACGGGUCGGUGAUCGGAUAAGCCGUAUCGAGCUUUGCUCAUGCACUUAUCUUGGUCCUACCUUACAGGGGAUAAGCCGGGCCGAGUCCCGACCUCCGCCUAAAGAAGAAACGCUCUCGGCAAAGGGCCUAAAAACCCCAACCCGACAGCAAAGCCAAGGCCAGACUCGCACGGGUCGGUGAUCGGAUAAGCCAUAUGGAGCUUUGCUCAUGCACUUAUCUCGGUCCUACCUUACAGGGGAUAAGCCGGGCCGAGUCCCGCCCUCCGCCUAAAGAAGAAACGCUCUCGGCGAAGGGCCUAAAAACCCCGACCCGACAGCGAAGCCGAGAUCGAACUCGCACGAAGACAAGACUCACCUCCAGAGCAAACGAAGGACACAACUUCCAAAGCAAGAGAAAAAAUCUCCAACAGUCAAAAGGAAACUCAACCAAACUACGAUUCCAAAAGCAAAGAUAAGAAAUUCCUUCAAACAUUCUUAAAAGUCUUAUACAUACAAAAAAGAGCACAAAGGAGAAACGAACAAUCGAUCACCGAGUCAGCGUCAAAAGAAAAAGACGGAAGAUCGCUUAUCUCCAAGUCAUCCACCUCCAUCUGAUUCAAAGCGGCCGUAUGCACCACCAAAGCCUGCUCGUUCUCGGCCAGCUUUGGCGCAGGUAUAGGAAUCCCCUCCUUGAUGAACAAUUUAAGGCAGCUAACAACCCGUGAAAGCUGAGACUCAAUCAAAAUCUGGGGACGAACUACAUCCCGAUAAGACAAGUACUUCCUCACCUUCUCCACAAACUCACCAAAACGAGCAAGCAUAGCAGACUCAACACGACGCCUCUCCGACUCCGCUAGCUCAGCACGAGACUCCUUCAGAUGCGCUACUUCCGCCUCCAAAACCAACUUCUGAGACAGCAACUUUUUCUCGCGAUAGUCCCGCUCGGUGAUGUCCCCCUUAAGACGACCGACCUCAGCUCUCAAGUCCCGACUCUCGGCUUCAAGUUUGAUCGAGUUCUCCUCCGAAGUUUUCAAAGACAAAAGAGCGGCGGACGAUCUCUCCUUCUCCUCAGCCAAGAGACGACGCUCCUCCUCGAGAUCGUCAGACAGACGCCUGCAUUUCCCUUCGAACAGUCCCACCAGAUGAUUUCCUUUUAUCUUCGACUGCCAAAAAAAAAACAACACAUCAAAAGGAAAAUAAAUAAAACGGCAUAAAAAAGAAGAAGAAGGAAAGAAAGACGAAAUACCUGAGCCUCGCAGGAAGCCCACUCAACAUACUCCUGAACAAAGGACAUAUCCUCUAGAUCCGGCAAAAAAAUCGACGACAAACGAAAACUAUGCAAGUACCAUGCACAAUCCUCAGGCGUAAGCAAAGAAGAAUCAGGAUCUUCGAAAACAAACGUCCUCUUCCUUUUCUUAGAACCUCCAGACGGAGGCCGCUCAGAAGAACUUGCGGCCCCAAGACCUCUGACAAUUAGAGCACCUAAGAGAGAGGGAGCCGCCGGCGGAGAAACCGUCGGAGCAUCAGGAUCGGAGAGACCAACCAUUGAUAGGUGAUCACCACCACCCGUCGUCUCGUCAAGAGAAGAAUGAAUAGCCGCGACGGAAGGGUCAGCAUUAGGAUCGGUAGGAGGGAUAACAACCGGAGCCGGAACCAAGGCUGAAGACGAACCACUCUCUUUCAGACUCGCCGACGGAAGAACAGAAGGCGUCUCGCUCAUAGCCUUAGUAUACACGGGAAUGUCCCUCUUAACUUUCCCCAUUUUCUUACCAGCGGAAGCACCUCCUCUCGUCUUAGAAGGCUCAGCAACAGUUGAAGGACCGGAAGUAACCACCCGAGAAGCUAGAAAACACGAAGGAGAUAAAGAUCAGAAACAAACACAGAGAAGAAGAAAAGAUGUCGCGAUCAUCGAACUUACCGGUAGUAAUACGAGGAAUACUCCGACGAACGCGCUCAACGGUAAAAUCAAUCCAAGCAAUUCUCCCGGGACGAAGAAUAUGAUUCAAGCGAUCGGUCGCCCAUGACGGAAGAAGCCGGAAUUUCCCACGAGGCACUAAAACAAAACAGCGCACAAGAUCAACAAACCAAGCAGCAAAGACAACAAGAAAAGAGGAGAACAAAUAAACUACCAGGCUCGGGAUUCCACUCGGUCCUAAAAACCGCAGAAGAAUCAGCCACAGAAGCAGGACUAACGCGUACAAAGAAAUACUUCCGCUGCCAACCAUCGGCCUUAGACAGUCCCCGGCCCUCCAUAAGGCGACAGCGAGUCUUGAUACUAACGGAUAACGUCUUGCCCGUAAUAAGAUUCAUCUGGUAAAUCAUCUCAAAGAACUCAGCGUCGACAUCAACAUCCACUUCCGCGCCAAGAACCAGGGAAAUCACCAUAUUACGGAUGGUAGACGGGGACAUCUGAGAGAUAGCCACAUCACACUUUGUGGAAUAAGAAGUCAACAGCCGAGGAAGAGGAAACCAUAUCCGCGAUUGAAGAAACUAUUGCCUAUAUAAACAUAUCCAACCCGGCGGCGCCGACCACGGCCUCUUCUCGUUCGAAAGAAGUCGUGUCUCGAUCUCUCGGGAAAAUCCACAUUUCCUCCUCAUAUGCUUCAAGCUAUCCUCGGUAAGAAGAGUAGCCCCCUCGAUCCCCUGAUUCCCUUCGAUCGGCUCGCCAACAGCAUAAUUUUCGCCGCCAGAGUCAUUACCGGAAGAAUCACCGGGGGGAGAAGACAGAAGAUCAACUCCAGAACCAGUCCGGUCGACGGAGUCAGUAACAGGAGAAACCUUCGCUUGAGUAGUGGGAGUCGCCUCCUGAACAGUAGACGAAGCCACCUCCUGAGGGACAAGGACCAUCGUCUGAAGAGAAGAAACCUCUUCCGGAAGAACAGGACCGGAAGCCGGAACAGUAUGAAGGAGAUCCUCGACAUCUGCCAUUUCUUGGGUCCUAACUAACGAUUCAAGACUUUCGUCCAUCACGAAAGAAGAAAUACCGACGGUACGAUUAUAAAAAAGAAAUGAGGGGUAGAAAAUAAAAACGUAGCAGACGAGAAGAAACAACGAAACCAAAGAGUAAGAAGAAGAAGAAUACCUAUUAAAGGAGCAAGCGCAACAGAAUCGGAGCAAACAAAGCAAUAAGUGAAGAGUAGAAGGCAAUAGGGAGAGCAGGGCGUCAGGAUUGCAGGCUUCGACAUCUAUCGAUGUGGCUGAAAGACUCUUGAGUGACCAAUAUCGGCGGUUCACUACAUCGGACCCAUUCCACGAAGAAGAAAGGGCCACUCCGGGCUCGACACGCGUUCAAAACAAACUUAUCUACCCAACUCGCUCAAAACCGCAAUAAUGACGGGGGGGGGGCUAUUGUUGGAGGAUGGGCCGUCGGCCCAUUCGCGAGUUGGACAUCAAAGGACAAGCCCAGCAAAGGCCCACGUCAAAGGAAGAACAUCCGCGGCGCACGCAAAGAACAGGAGCCUAAGGCGUAUAGCCUGCACCGACCGCCGAUUGUAGACAGAACACCUAAGCAAGCGAUAGGGUAAUGAUGAGUGCCGAACCAACUACCUGACACACAACCACUACGAAGCGGUGAAGACGCAUCCAAACGGGUAUAAAUAGAGAAGAGCAUUGAAUGAAGAAGAGGCAGCGAAAUAGAGAAAGAAAGACUAGAGAGAUAAAGUAGAGAGAAUCCCGAGUUCGUCUUUACGACUACAAGUUCUUCUUUUAUUUCUUCGCUUCGGCUUCUUGUAAACACUUCAUUAAACGAAACCUUUGGCCCCAUUAAUCAUACUUAUAUCUUUGUUUAGUCUAUAAAUCCCUUGUUACUGGAUUUAGGAUUCAACAGUUACUACACCUCUCACACGUAGAUGGAACUCACGUAUAGUCAACCUUUUUAUUAUCAUCAAGAGAAAUAAGCUUUAGGAGAAAUUUAUCCACUUUCAUCUCAACUAACACCUUAGCUUCAUCCACAUUGAUAGGAUCAAGACGAAGUUUAUGCGUUAAACUAAGUUCUCCAAGUACUGAAUCAACAUGAUUUAUUCAUAACAUGGAUAAAUUAUUCACCAUUUUACCAAUCACUAUAAUAAGUACGUUAAUAAAAGCAUACAACUUUUGCAGCAUACUUCAAUUUUUUAGAAUAUUGUUACUGUUUUAUCAUCAUUUCUUCCGAUCAAAUAAUUUCCUUAAAAACCCGCAAUGAUAUUCAUCAAAACAUAGUUUUUGCAGUAUAUUUGCUUUUUGUUUUGGAAUGAAGAAAGAGCCACUUAAUCGAAUCACCUAAUGAUGAUGACUUCAAUACAUAAUAUAAUGUAGCCUACCAUAUAACUAUUCUUCAAGGCUGCAGCUAAUUUCGCCAGCAGCCCGUCCAACCUUCAUUUUUGCUUUAGCAUUACUUGGGUUGGGCACAAAUACUUGUUACUUAUUUUAUAUCUGUUACUUGACCUGUACUCGCCUCGAUUUUAUAGAUACUCAUCGGUGUCAAGUCAAAUAUCAAGCCGAUGAGUUUUGCAAGUACAAGAAAAGUAACAAAUAUCACAAAAAGAUACCGACUCAGCUAGAUAUUACUUGUUACUUGUUUUAUGACUGAAAAAUGAUAACUAGACCACAAGAACGAAAGCCUUAUAAAUAUAUUUCUUUGUUGUAAGAAGUAAAGAAUACUUUUAUAUUGAAAUGUUUAUGUAAUUUGUCACUCCUUUUUCUUUAUAAUAGUUACAAAUAUUUUAUUUGAAAUAAUUUCAUAUCUUUUCCAAUAUGUAAAACGACAAACUUUUAUAACCUUUUUUUUUGUCAUCAACAUUACAGACUCAUAUUGACCCUGUAAACCACGCUGGGAGAUGUUGAUCCAUGUGAACGACGAAAGACGUUUGUGUCCUGACACUGCGUGCUAGGUUAUCCGCCUUUGUAUUUUGCGUUCUUGGUACAUGAAUAAUCUCUGAUCGUAUGAAACUCUCUUUCAGACUUUUGAUAUCUUCCAAAUAACUUGCAAAAGCAGGCCAUUCUUCUGGUGCUGAAACCAUCUUCACCAAUUGAGAACAAUCCGUUGCAAACGUAACCUGAAAUUGUCGUAAGUUUCUCAUACAUUCCAUAGCCCAUAGUAGCGCCUCCAUCUCUGCAUGUAAUGGUGUUAGAGUGGCCCGUACAUUCCUUGCUCCCAUCAGUCCCUCAAAUCCUUCUAACGUACUGAACCAACCCUGACCAGAGAAAAUAUCACCCUCUUUCCAUGAUCCAUCUGUAAAACACCAUCGUCCGGGAAUUGACGGAAGAGUCGUAACCUGUAACUUUUAUAACCUUUUCUGAUAGAAUAUUACCUAGCAAGUAAUUCUAAAAAUAUUGGAAAUAUAUCCAAAUAAUUCACAAGUACUUAAGUAGUAAGUAAUCGAAUGAAGCAAAUAACUUGCAAGUAACGUAUUUUUGGACAAGUACUCAUUUUCAACAAGUCAAAUACAAGUCCAAAAUUUUAUUACUCAUUCAAAUAAAACCAAAUAACAAGUAUACACACAGAAAAGCAAGUACUCGAUCUGUCUGCGCUCACCCCUACUGCAUUAUACCUUCUAUUGCAGCUUUUUGGGCUCCUCUCAUCCUCUUUUCCUAUUUACGCUUUUCCUUUUUAAAUAUUUUUGUUAAAUAAAAUGAAAAAUUUGAUUGCUCACUACAUGAAGUAUUGGCCAUCAUAUAGCUAACAUGCAAACAAAAAUAAUGUAUACCUAGCUACGCGAAGUAUAUGUUAUGCAUGAUUACAUCUCUCAACUUAAUGAUGUUAUGUAGUUAACAUCACGAGUUUAAUUUCGUUCAUCUAAAAACUAAUGUAGAUGUUAGAGACCGUUUAAAUAUAUCAUUUUAUCAAAUAAAAUAUGACUAACCCGAUUAUAAUUUAACUGAAUGAUAUUUUAAGCCACGUUUUAAAAGUGUAAGAAUAUUUUUAACAAAAUAUAAUUUCAAAAUAAAUAUGUUUUAACAUUUUUUAUAAGUAGUGUUUUAAUAUUGUUUUUUAAUUAUUUUAAUUUGUUUUCUUAUGAAAUUUUAAUAAAAUUUAUGCAAUUCGUUUGAUUAAUUGUUCGAUAUAUACUUAUUUGAUACAUUUUUUAAUGGAUGCAAUUUUUGUUUAUGAAAAUAUAAAUAAAAUAAUUCAUUAAUUUAAUUAAUUUUAUAUCAAACAAAUAAAAUGUUAGAGUCAGUAAAUUGACAUGAAAUAUUUUUUAUAAUAAAAAAUUUAUCAAAUAAGUAGUAUAUAUUACACAAUUAAUCAAACGAAUUACAGAAAUUUUAUUAAGAGUUAAUAACAAAACAGAUUAAAAUAAUUAAAAACCAAAUUAAAUAAAUCUUAUAUAAAUUUCAUAUUUAGUCAAAUUACUGUUAGGUACAUCAUACUUUAAUUGAUAAAAAUGAGAGAUUUAAACAGUUUCUGACAUCCACAUCAAUUUUUGGAUGAAUGAAAUUAAACUCGUGAUGUUAACUACAUAACAUCAUUAAGUUGAGAGAUAUUGUCAUACAUAAUAUAUAAUUUGUGUAGCUAAGUAUAAAUUAAUUUAGUUUGCAUGGUUAGUCAUAUGCGACCAAUACUUCAUGUAGUCAAUAAUCAUUUUUCCAAAUAAAAUGUAAUUAAAUACCAAGUCAAUUAAACAAGGAACGGAUGAUAUAAUCGUUUGACACUUGGAUCAUAAGUUGACUCCUUGGUUAGGUUUAGUAAAGAAUAAAAAAAAUCUGAUCUUAUGGUGGCUUAAUGGGUGACUCUUUUAGCAAACCUGGGAAGAUUUUGCUUCAAGUCGUGGCUGUUCUGGCCAACAAUAUAGACAUGUAUGUUUUGAUAAUCAACAUGACCCUCAUUAUUUUGGCAGUCAAUUCUAAAAACUGAAGCAAAGCUUUGCUGAUUUGGUUUUAUGACUAUAGACAGUGCUUUUAUUGGUAUAUCAUUACCAUGACUAGUUCUGGGCAUCAUUUUCGGUUUCCAUUCGUUUUUUAGAUUCUAGAGGUUUAGGAUUUGUUCGGUUAUUUAGAAAUUUGGUUUCGAUUUCAGUUCAAUUAUUUUGUUUUUCGGUUCGGGUAAUAAAGUUACGAACCUACUAAUGUCUCUUGUUGUUUCGAUUCGAUUUCGGUUCAGUUCUGAUCAAAAAGAUCAAAAACGUUUUUCGGGUUAAAUAUCAUGUUUUUUGGGGUUUUGGAUAAAAGUUUGGAUAAUUCGAAUAACUUUAACUAUUUCGGAUAAAAUGUAUUCGGGUAGUUUGGGUUUUCAAAUAUUUUGGCUUACCAAUAAUUGCUUUAAAUUAUUUUCUAAGUACAAUAAACUAUACGAUAGAAAUUUGAGUGUCCAUUCGGUUCUCGGUUUGGUUUAAAUUUGGUUUCGAUUUUUUGUUUUAGAGAUAUAGAAUCAACUCGUAUAAUUGAUAGAAUCCAAACUCAAACUCAAUAUCAUUUUUUUGGUUCGAUUCGGUUCUUCAGUUCUGGACAAAUGUGUUUCUGGACAAAUGUGCUCAGACCUAACCAUGACCGAUAUUUGCUAACUUGAGGAAUCUUUUUUAAGUCUUAGUUGGUAUAUUAUUAUUAUUAUUACUAGGGAUUUUCCCGGGCUACGCUCGGGUUCAGACAAAUAUAUUUACUUAUAAUAUAUAAAAUACAUAAAUUAUGGCUAAUUUAUAAAAUAUAUAUUUUAUAUUGAAUUUAAAAUGCUUGAAGCUUAAAUUUAAAGUGGUUGUCUUUUGAUUAUAAUAUAUAUAUGUAUAUUAUUUAUAUAUAUAGGAUGAUGGAGAUGCAGAUCAAUAAAAGUUAAUUAACACUCUAAUCUAAGAACUUAAUUAUCUGACAUAUUUGUUGGAUUCUCAUGAAAAUAUGUUAUUAAUCACUGUUGAUCCAAACUUGUGCAGAGCUUAUAGUUUCAAUGAAAAAAGAAGCAAAUAAUCAAUAGUCACUAUUGAUAUAUAUAUAUAUCUUUGUAAACUUAUGUAUAAUAUUUAAAUAUGUAACUUAUUUGAUCAAAUUGUGUCAUUAAUUUAUAUGCAGAUCAAUUCGGAUGGUCGAAAAUACCUUGAUAACUAGGAGUAAUGACUGGAGUGCAAGAGUGUGGUCUAUCUCCAGUCACCAGAGGAUCAUUCGAUUAUGUUUUAGCAUGCCAUGCAGGGGCAGUACAAUAUGUUGACUACACUCCACAAAGGAAUAAUCAUAAUAUCAGCAACCAGUUCUCAAAAUAUUGUAAAUCAUUGAUUUCGCAAAUAAACAUCAUGGCUUUAAGGUAGUGCAUUGCUGCUGUUUUUUUUUUCUUCUAAAAAUGUCUAUUUUGAAAACUUUAAAAUCAUUAACAAUUAUGUAAACGAACCAAUGAUAUGUUUUAACAUCCUGAUCACAUAUUCUUUUGGUCAAAUUAAUACUUGAUCAGUGAGUUUAAAUUUGAGAACAUGAUUCUAAGGACAAUAAUAGCGAACAAAAUCAAACUUUUUUUUGUCUUUGCGCCACUCGAUGAUUUUCCAUAACUAAACAAUAUUCAGUACCUCUACGUGAAAUAAGCAAAGGAAACAUCUAACUUACACAUCUAGUCAUAUUUUUGCACUAAACCCUUUCUGAAUGCGCUUGGGAAUUUAAAACUUAUGUUCAUCACUUCUCCUGCGCUUUUCAUCUCUUGGCUGAGAAUCGCGUCGCACCCUCGAAACUUCUCAAAGAGGGUGAACAAUCGCUUUUGAGACAAAAGGGACAGUACACAUAAUAAGCAAAUCAAAUUACAUACAAAAGUGAUGUUUUUAGAGAACAUCGAGAAAGAACCUGGAUAUGGUCAGGACCAAGCAACCUCUGAUUACACUUGAGAGCUUUGUGAAGAUGCCGCAAGAAAACAUGUACAGUUCCUCAAACUUCCUCCAUCAUGUCUACAUUUAUGUAUAUAGCAGCAGUGUUUGGAUAAGAUGCACCACACUGUAGAUGUAAGAAAUAGUACUCAUACAACAUACGGUUAACAUUUAUUUUUUGAGACGGUUAAAAUCAAAUUUAUUGGACUUAAUAUGGGAGAAAAAACUGUAGUAUUAGACAUCUAAACCAUUAAAUAUUGCAACACUUACUUGAGAGCCACUAUUUACUGAAGCUUAUAAGAGAAGGCAUCAAGAUGAUCAAGGGUGUAAUAUCCUCAAGUCAAAAGAACAGAUAACUUAAUUUUUAAAGAGGUUAUUAGGGAUAUAUAUCCCACACCGGAAAUUCUAAGGGACUUUAAGUAAUAUAUAAAGUAAUAUAUAAAGGGUUAUGGUCAAUCUACUAAUCACCAAUUGGUUUUAAGUUGAAAGCCCAUAAUAAACUCGAAUCUAACAUGGUAGUCAGAUCCUAAAUACUCUAACUCCUAAUUAAUAUUAACCCUUCCGACCGGGUAUAAAGGUCGUGAUUAACCCUUCCGACCGAGUAUAAAUGUCGUGUUAAACUCGCUCGACCGAGUAUAAAUUUCCUAAAAUUUAGAGAUUUCUGGCGGAUAAAAGCCAUCAUCUCGAGAAGUACUAAAUUUUUUAUAUAAAAUCGAGAUAAACCCAAAUCUAACAGAGGUACUAAAUUUUUAUAUCACUCAAAGUUGUUUAUAACAAAAUAAGUAAAAUAGAUUGAUAUGCUUUGCAUAUAAUAAGUAGUAGUGUGACCUUUUAGUCAGCGAAUUAUAAGUGAUUGUUUGUACGGGAUUCAGUCGAUUGGGCUGAAAGAAUUUGAAAAUGGGAUGACUAAAGACGUUUUAUUAGAUCUGGUAAAAGAGGUUACAAGAGUGACAAGAGAUCAAAGAAAACAGCCGGAGCUGGAAGAACUAGCCGGAAAAGAUACAAAUCGGUUCGGGGCAAAGGAAUGACUUAAACUCUAGAUCUAGCCGCCUCGUCUCUCUCCCCUCUCUUCUCCUCUUAUAGGCUUUCCUUCUUGUGUGCCAUCGAAUAUAUGGGCCUUGGUAGAUCCCCCUCGGACCGUGCGCUUUUGGUUGGCUUAGUCGACGGCUAGAGGCACUCUCGGACUGAGCCGACAGCUUUACUCGCUAAGCCAGAUAAGCUCGUGGCUUGUUGGGCUAGAGAUCGUUAUUCGAUGGGCCUUGUGGAGGGAUGAAAUCCAUCUCCUACAAUAAGUCCCCCCCCCCCAGUUCACUUGUGAGCGGCGUAGCGGUCUCAGUGAAUUUGUGGGUCAGGUUUGUUCGGAUAACGAGUUCCUAGCACGAAAGGUACCUUGUUUGGCGUUUUUAGUCGCAUACCGUUUUUACUCGGAAUCGACAGACAGUGUCUCUUUCUUUUGUCUCUCUGACCAUGCUUGGACGUGUUUAGUGGCUUCGAGGAAAGAUAGACUUUAGUCGCAUGCCGUUUUUACUCGGAAUCGACAGACAGUGUCUCUUUCUUUUGUCUCUUUGACCAUGCUUGGACGUGUUUAGUCGCUUCGAGGAAAGAUAGACUUUAGUCGUGUGCCAUUUUUGAAGUGGUUGGAUCGGUAUUCCCAGUUUAACCGGAGGCUGAUUUGGGUGAGGACCGGUUUAGAUCCAAAAAAUCAGAGAUUGAUUUGGUUCGGCUGGUUCAAUUUGGAAACCGGUUUAGGCGAGAAAUUGAACCGUCGCGAGUAGGUUUUGGGCGUGAAGGCGGCCUUUGAGGCCCAUUUAGGCCCUUUUAGACCUAAUGAUUGCUCUUGGGGGAUGUGCCUUCGUUUUUGCUAUAAAUAGGCUCAUUUGCUUCGCUUUCGUCAUUCUCCUCUACGCACUCAGGUAUCCACUUUCUCUCCCUUCUCUCUAGAUUUAAUUUCUCUCUCUAGAUUAGCUUUUGGUGAGUCAGCACCUUCAUCAUCGUCUUUAGUCGUCCUCAGAAUGACAAGCCCGUCUUCGAAGAGUCGACUAUCGCGCGAGGAAAAAGGGAAAGACAUUGUUAACACCCCGAGCCCAGGUGGAGAUUUCUCGGCGAAUGGUAGUCCAUUAGAUGAAUUCGAUCUGAUCCAUCGUGACGCCAUGUGGGAUACGGAGACAUGAGUUUAUCUCAGCGUCUUCUGGUCGCCAAGUCGCAUAGGCAAAUUCGCGAGGAAGCCGCCAAUCGUACCGACAUAGGCGCGAGCAGUGACCGAGAAGCCCAGAGUGGUGGUUUGAGAAGUUCGGAGUGUGAUGACUCUGGAGCCCUGAUGCCUCCACAACGAUCUUAUCCGAGGGUUCGCUUCGAUCAGAUAAACUGCAGACCUACGGUAUAUAAUCCUAGCGGGAUCUUUGAGGAACUUUCUCCACUUCCUCCGGAAUCCUUGCGUGAUCCACGGGCUGAAGGCCAGUCAUGGAAGAACGUAUUUGACUCAUGUUCCUCUCAUAAGUCGGUGAAGGACUUACUGAGGUUAUUCGAUGGGCCUUGUGGAGGGAUGAAAUCCAUCUCCUACAAUAAGUCCCCCCCCCCCAGUUCACUUGUGAGCGGCGUAGCGGUCUCAGUGAAUUUGUGGGUCAGGUUUGUUCGGAUAACGAGUUCCUAGCACGAAAGGUACCUUGUUUGGCGUUUUUAGUCGCAUACCGUUUUUACUCGGAAUCGACAGACAGUGUCUCUUUCUUUUGUCUCUCUGACCAUGCUUGGACGUGUUUAGUGGCUUCGAGGAAAGAUAGACUUUAGUCGCAUGCCGUUUUUACUCGGAAUCGACAGACAGUGUCUCUUUCUUUUGUCUCUUUGACCAUGCUUGGACGUGUUUAGUCGCUUCGAGGAAAGAUAGACUUUAGUCGUGUGCCAUUUUUGAAGUGGUUGGAUCGGUAUUCCCAGUUUAACCGGAGGCUGAUUUGGGUGAGGACCGGUUUAGAUCCAAAAAAUCAGAGAUUGAUUUGGUUCGGCUGGUUCAAUUUGGAAACCGGUUUAGGCGAGAAAUUGAACCGUCGCGAGUAGGUUUUGGGCGUGAAGGCGGCCUUUGAGGCCCAUUUAGGCCCUUUUAGACCUAAUGAUUGCUCUUGGGGGAUGUGCCUUCGUUUUUGCUAUAAAUAGGCUCAUUUGCUUCGCUUUCGUCAUUCUCCUCUACGCACUCAGGUAUCCACUUUCUCUCCCUUCUCUCUAGAUUUAAUUUCUCUCUCUAGAUUAGCUUUUGGUGAGUCAGCACCUUCAUCAUCGUCUUUAGUCGUCCUCAGAAUGACAAGCCCGUCUUCGAAGAGUCGACUAUCGCGCGAGGAAAAAGGGAAAGACAUUGUUAACACCCCGAGCCCAGGUGGAGAUUUCUCGGCGAAUGGUAGUCCAUUAGAUGAAUUCGAUCUGAUCCAUCGUGACGCCAUGUGGGAUACGGAGACAUGAGUUUAUCUCAGCGUCUUCUGGUCGCCAAGUCGCAUAGGCAAAUUCGCGAGGAAGCCGCCAAUCGUACCGACAUAGGCGCGAGCAGUGACCGAGAAGCCCAGAGUGGUGGUUUGAGAAGUUCGGAGUGUGAUGACUCUGGAGCCCUGAUGCCUCCACAACGAUCUUAUCCGAGGGUUCGCUUCGAUCAGAUAAACUGCAGACCUACGGUAUAUAAUCCUAGCGGGAUCUUUGAGGAACUUUCUCCACUUCCUCCGGAAUCCUUGCGUGAUCCACGGGCUGAAGGCCAGUCAUGGAAGAACGUAUUUGACUCAUGUUCCUCUCAUAAGUCGGUGAAGGACUUACUGAGGCGGUAUGGAGGCACCGGCAUCACGUACAUUAUUCCUUCCAACGGGCAGCGUCCUUGGUCGCCUCCGGUUGGCUACCAGUGUGUCUACAAAUCUUAUUUCGGGGACCAGACGAAACUAUGGUUCCCCAUUCCCCGGCUCGUUACGUCUUAUGCGUUUCGUCGGGACAUUGCGAUCUGCCAAUUGCUCAACGGGGUCACUGCGCACUGCGGUCAUGCUGAUGGUGAUGGCCGCGGAGAUAGACAUUUCGAUGAGUGUGAGAGUGUUCGAGGAGUUGACUUUCACAAAGGCAGAACCGAACGCGAUAUUCCCGGUGAAGAUGCGUUCGAACUACAACGUCUUGACCGGGCAUCCCAACAAGACGAAAGACUGGCAGCGUUCGUAUUUUUACGUCAAAUGCGACAAAUAUGCCUUCGCAGAGCCUCCUGGGGACGACUAUCGUGUUCUCUGGAAUAAAACGCUUGGUAGAAAAAGUUUAUUAAUGCCUCGUUGUACUCAGAGAUGCUGACCUUGGUUUUUAUUUCGUUAAUACCUUCCUUCACGUCUUGACCGUCUCUUUUGUUCUGCAGUUGAUUGGGAGUCGAGACUUUCGGUUGUGCUUGGCCCUCGUAAAUCUCGCCUUUCCUUAUUUACUCGGAAACAACAAAAGCUUUUGAACAAAGCCAGAGAGAUGGAGGGAGUUUCAGACUUGAGUGCGUUGCUGAAAGGGCAACUCCAAAUGUUGUUGACAAAGUCGUCUUCAGCUGGCGCCUCUGACGCUAGACCUGAUCUUGUCGAGGGAGACGUAAACUUGGAGUCAUUGGCCAGAGUCCAAAAAGGAAAGCGACCGGCAAAGCGAAGAAACGUGCCGUCGAAGGAGAGCAGUCUGGCUCCCUCGAGAAAAAUGCUCCUUUGGAGGAGGCCCCGUCUUCUGCUGAUGCUUCUAAGGUCUCAAGAAAAAAGAAGAAGAAGAAGAAGGACGGGAAGAAGAGACCUCGUGAGGAUCCUUCUAUUGGACAACAUGAGACCUCGGCGGUGAUUGGGGAGGACGUACGAUAUGGAGACCCCUGUUCAGAUUGGUUCUACUCGAGAGUCGCCUGAGGAACGUCCCAAGAAGAGAGUGAAGAAGAAAACGGUGGAAGAAGGGGUGGAAGAUCCUUCGAGGAGUGGAGGAAAAGCCUCCGGUUCCGGAGGUGAGCCUCGGAAUGAGUCUCCAUCGAGUGAGAGACUCGGUCCUUCGUUGGUGGUGAGGAAGGAUGCUCGGAGUGAAGGCUCUCUGCCGAAGAAGGGGAGAAUUGAAUUCCCAGAUCGUGUGGAGUUCUUGUAUGACGAGAAGACUCCUUUAGUGCUCAAUCCUCUCCAGUGCGUGGAGCUGACGCGCCAGAUCCGUGGUGGGACGAGGGAGUUGCCGCCAAUCGGGGAUCUAUAAUUCAAGGACGAGUACAUUGACGCUGCUUCUGCGAGCAAACGGGUAUCCUACUUUCCUCUCUCUCUCCCCUUUUUUUACGAAGUCAAAUAAUACUUCUUUGUGGACUAAGGGGGACCAUCCUUGUUUUUGGCAUUGUGCAGAGCGACGGGAGUAUGAACUAUCUCGUCGAAAAAUACGACAGCGCCUUGAAGCAGACGAUGAUCCAACUAGGUGCAUCGGAAAAACUUGCGCGGGCCAGGCUGAGCGUGAUCGAGAGAUUACGUGCCGAGAAUAAGAAGGCUAGCGACAAAGCGGCUGAGGAGAAACAAGUUCUUCGAGCUAAAUUCGAAGAGCUUGAAGGUAAGCUAAAAUCCGAUCGACUCGCGAAGAAUGAGAUGAUGCGCGAGAAGACUCAUCUGGAGCGAAACGUUGCUUCCCUUGAGAAGGAGAAGGCGGAACUCGAGGGAGAGAGGGACGCAGUCGUCGAGACGUUAGUCAAGGAGAGGCAGCGCAUGAGGGACUCUCGAAUCCGGGAAGUUACUUGCGAGAGGGUCAGGGUCCAAACUGCUAUGGCGGACAAGUCCACUCGCUGCUUUGGUCGAAUGAGAGACUAUUUGGCUCGUCUCGACGCCUUCGAGAAAGCCAAGAGCUUGUAUGGGCAGGCAUCAGGGACGAGAAAAUGCCUCGAGGUAAUAAGGGACAAUGGGACGGAGAUCCCGCAGGGCAUGAUAGAUAUCUUUGCAGAGCAGGAGAAGCUUCAUGAGGCCGAGGUCGCCUCGACCCGCUCUCCAGACUUCGCCUCGACCCGCUCUCCGAGAGCAACCUUACUUUGUCCCCACUUAACCUUCCUUCUAGAUUUGUUAGUGAGGAGUUUAUGGCAAUGCUCGAUCCGUACGGGUCAAAUGUCGGCUUGAUUGGGUCCGACUCGGCUUCCCAGCUUAUUACUUCACGCGAAGUCGGCGAGGAUCAGUCCGCGGAGCCGACGGUAGAUGUCACAUCGAACAGGUUGCGGCUAUGGAGAGGAGCCCCGAAAAAGAGAACCUCGAGGUGGACGAUGCCUUAGCUCAGAAAGGGGGAACCGAGAAAGUAGGCUCUGAGGGACCUCUUCUUGUUUCCAAUACUUCUUCUGAGAGGCGAGAAGACGAGGAGGAGGGAAGUGAUCAAGGUAGGAAGACGCCGUCACCGAGACCAAACGAGGAUAAAGUGACAAGCGAGAUCGAGAGGAGUACUUCGAGUUUCCUACCUUUAGAAGUGAAUCCUCUCGCUCCUUUUCCUACUCCAGUUGAGAGCCCGACUGUUCCCGCGGCUGAAGAUCCCCAAGAUCUCCCUGCUUCGAACGUCUUGACGGGGAGCGGAGAAGACGAUGGUUCCGUUGCUUGAGCCUUCGUUUAUGUUGUACUUUAUUUACUAAAUCUUUUUUGGAGUGUGUUUGUGGCCCUGGUGGGCCCUUUUGUUGUAUGUUUAGAUGCAUUAUCUCUUUGUCGGCGAGUUGCUAUGUUAAGCAGACCUUUUAAAGUUUAUGCGUGCCUCUUAUCAGUUUUUACAAAGCUUGAGUAAGUCUCAAUCUACCCGAAAAUCUCAUAGCGUGUUUGCUUAGAAAUGACAGGUUUUUGAUUCUUAACCUUUGCAAAACUGGUAGUGAAAUAAAUCACAGAAGGGCUUUUGUUGAUCCUCGUCGCAUUUCAGACGAGAUAAUGUCUAAGGAUGCUAUUCGAUUCCGAAGGACGAGAAUUUUGAAUUUAAGAGAGGAAAGGUUCUUUAUCCGUGUUUCUAGUGACGGUCGAGUAUUUGGGUAGCUAAUCCUUUACUCGUCGGUCGGAAAAAGGGUAUAGAUUUCUCUCUUUUUAGUCGGUCAAUGCGUUCGAGGCAUAGGUGACUUGCGACCAUUUUGCCCUUCAGCGAAGUGUCUGAUCAGGGCAUAGCUGAGUGGUGGGGUGUGAAUAUCCGCAUACUGCCUGUUGGUGGUAUGGGAGUUGAUCCUUCGUUGGUCGAUUUGGGAUCGAAACAAAGUUUUGAUUUUGGUGUUGUUACAUCUAGACCGGUUAAGGCUGCCUACGUACCUCGGUUGAGGAUCAAGCCAUUCGUAGUUUGUUUUUCCCGAGUAAAAGUGGCUGUUAAAAGCGCAUUUACUUGGUUGAGUAGAAGUGACCGCGGGGGUGCAUCUACUCGGUUUUUUUUUUUUUUUUCUUAACUAUGACGAUUCUAAGAGUAGAAACGACGUAGGUGCAUUGAGUUACAUGCUCGAGGCACUUCUUCUCCACGCGACGUUUGAAGUCGGUAGACGCCCGGUUUGACGACUUUGAUGAUCUUGUAAGGUCCUUCCCACCUAGCUCCGAGUUUGCCGGCGUUCAGUUCCUUAGUGUUUUCGAACACUUUGCGCAUGACGAGGUCGCCGAGUUCGAGAGGUCUGGCCCGAACCUUUUUGUUGUAAUAGCUCUCUAUCUGAUGCUGAUAGUUUUGGAUCCGUAGUAGAGCUUGGUCCCGUCAUUCUUCAAUCUCGUCGAGGGCAUCCAACAGCAUCUCCUUACUGAGUUUGACGUACUGGGGCUUUCUCGAACGUCGGAGGCUUGAAACGUUGACUUCUGCGGGGGCCAUAGCCUCGACUCCGUGUGCAAGAGAGAAGGGUGUCGAUUUAGUCGAUCCUCUUGGUGUCGUGCGGUGACUCCAUAGGACUCCAUCGAGUUCGUCGGCCCAAUGACCCUCUUUCAGGUCUAGACGUUUCUUAAUGCCGUCGAUGAUGAGCUUGUUGGAGGAUUCUGAUUGGCCAUUUCCUUGCGGGUAGCGAGGGGUGGAUGGGCUUAGUCGGAUGUUCCAUUUGCUGCAAAACUCCUUGACUUUGCCUGACAUGAACUGUGAUCCAUUAUCGGUAUAAAUUUCAUAAGGUAGACCGUGGCGGCAGAUAAUGUUCUUCCAGACGAAACCAUGGACUUCCUUGUCUGUGACUUGAGCGUAGGCUUCGGCCUCGAUCCAUUUGGUGAAGUAAUCAGUGAGGACAAGAACGAAACGUCGCUGGCAGGAACAGGGAAGAGGUCCUAUGAUGUCCAUUGCCCAUCGCAUGAAUGGAUAUGGUGCGGUCGUCGUUCGUAACAUUUCAGUCGGACAAUGGAUGUUUGGUGCAUGCCGUUGGCACUUUUCGCAGCUUCUAGCGUAGGAAUCACAAUCGGCGUUCAUCGUCGGCCAUAAGAAGCCUAGGCUUCUCACUUUGAUCGUCAAGGCUCGACCGCCAGAAUGGUUCCCUCCAGCUCCUUCAUGUGCCUCAGCCAUAACCCUUUCGGUCUCAUCGCCGUGGAUGCACUUGAGGAGUACUUUACUCGCGGUCCAUCGGUGUAGUUCAUCGUCCAGGACAACGUAAUGGGCACUGCGUGUUUUUAGUCGGCGAGCAGCCCACUUCUCAGUUAGAAGUUCUCCCUUUCUAAGGUAGUCGAUGAACUCAGUUCUCCAGUCAGGGCCGAACCCAUCAGAAUUUGGUGUGUUGGCCUUGGUGACUGGAGCUACGUUGACAGUUUGGUCGGUCGAGAUAUCGAUACUUGGUUUCUCAAUGCGAUGUAUUGGGAUGGUUCGUUUAACCUGAUCUCGAAGCUUGCUGCCAAGGGCUGCGAGAGCAUCGGCACAGACGUUUUCCCCUCUGGGAACUUUGGUGAGUUCGAAGAACUCGAACUCUGCUGCUAAACCUUGUACCAGCUUAAGGUAGGCGUCCAUCCGGUCGUUGCGGGCGUCGUAGUCGCCGAUAAACUGACUGGCAACUAACUAUGAGUCGCAGUAGGCGCUUAGGCGUUUAGCCUUGACAGCUUUUGCUAAGCGGAGUCCGGCGAUCAAAGAUUCAUAUUCUGCUUCAUUAUUCGAAGCCGGAAAACCGAAGCUAAAAGACUGUCUAAUAAGUUCUCUUGUCGGAGACUGCAAUUGGACUCCGGCCCCUGCGCCUUUGUUGGUCGAAGAUCCGUCGACAUGAAGUAUCCAGUUUGGGUUUGGGAGCGCGAGGUCUUGCUCCAGUUCCAGGUCUAGUUCGACUAAAAAAUCCGCAAGAACCUGGGACUUUGCUGUCGUUCGGUUUUUGUACGUGAUAUCGAGUUCGCCGAGUUCGAUAGCCCACUUCGUUAGUCUUCCGGACCUGUUGGUAUUCUGAAGUAUUGUUCGGAGGGGCUGGUCGGUUAAUACUUCAACCGAAUGUGACUGGAAGUACGGGCGAAGCUUUCUUGCUGCUUCGACGACGGCCAGCGCCAUCUUCUCCAGAGUCGGGUAUCGCGUUUCCGGUCCCGUCAUGCGCCUGCUUGUGUAGAAGAUUGACUUUUGUUCGCCGCGAUCUUCUUUUAUCAGAACACUGCUGACUGCUGCUUGUGACACUGCGACGUAAAGAGAUAGAACGUCGCCAACAUCUGGCUUGGCGAGUACAGGCGGCGUAGUCAGAUAUUGUUUGAGCUAGGCGAAUGCCUCCUCGCAUUUUUCAUUCCAGAUAAACUUCUUGUUACCUCGUAGGAGAUCGUAGAAUGGCAGACACUUGUCGGUGGAUCUAGAGAUGAAUCGAUUGAGUGCAGCAAUCCUACCCGUGAGCCGUUGGACCUCUCUACUAUUUUUUGGACUUGGGAGGUUUAGGACCGCAGAGAUCUGUUUCGGGUUGGCUUCGAUUCCUCGUUGUGUUACUAUGUAACCAAGGAAUUCUCCUGAAGAAACUCCGAAUGUGCACUUUGCCGGGUUUAGUUUCAUUCCGUAUUUGUUGAGAGUUUCGAAGCAAUCUUGUAGAUGGCUGAGGUGGUCGGCAGCGUGUAGCAACUUAACAAGCAUGUCGUCGAUGUAUACUUCCAUGGUGACGCCCAGCUUUUCUGCGAACAUUUUGUUCACAAGCCGUUGGUAAGUUGCUCAUGCGUUCUUCAGGCCGAAUGGCAUAACCUUAUAGCAGUAGGUUCCCCUAUCUGUGAUAAAGGCCGUCUUCUCGCGGUCAUCAGGGUGCAUCAUGAUCUGGUUGUAUCCAGAGAAGGCGUCCAUAAACGUGAGCAUCUCGUUUCCGGCUGUAGAUUCGACUAAACGGUCGAUAUUGGGGAGAGGAUAGCUGUCCUUCGGGCAAGCUUUAUUUAAGUCAGUGAAGUCGAUGCAAACGCGCCACUUCAUGUUCUUCUUUUUGACUACUACUGGGUUUGCUAACCACUCAGGGUAGCGUACCUCAGCGAUUGAUCCAGCACCGAGUAACCGGUCAACCUCUUCGUUCACGGCUUUUGACCUAUCAGGCCCAAGCUUUCGUCUCUUUUGUCGGAUGGGUUUGAAGGUCGGGUCGACGUUUAGCUCGUGAGUCAUUAUGGCUGGAUCGAUUCCUUUCAUAUCCGCCAUGGACCACGCGAACGUAGACACAUUCUUCUUGAGGAAGCUGAGGGCUGAUUGCUGCAUAUCCUCAGAUAGAUAUGCGCCUAUUCGUGCGGUCCGGUUAGGGUCAGUGUCGUCAAUAGGUAUUUCGAGAACUUCGUCUUUUUGGGAACAGACCUUUGAGGUCGAAGGAGAGACAGAGUUAACGGGUAGAGAGGAGCGUUGGAGCUUGACGGUGGCGACCAGUAAUUCCCUACCGGCCUUAUGAUCCCCGCGCAACAUUUUGAUCUUGCCGUCUGUACCGGGAAACUUGAUACACUGGUGAUAAGUAGAUGGAAUUUCUUGCAUUGAGUGUAUCCAAGGGGUUCCAAGUAUGGCAUGGUAAGGUGCCUUUGUGCUUACGACAGCGAACUUGACUGUCCGAGUAACUCCACAUGCGCGUACCGAAAGGCGGAUUGUUCCUAGUAUUGGUUCAGAAGAUCCAUUGAAGCCGGUUAACGUUCUGGAGGACGAUUUAAUGUCGUCGAGGUCCACUCCCAUCUUUUGCAGGGUUCCUCGGAAGAUGAGGUCGACGGAGCUCCCUGUAUCAAUAAGGACCUUGGUGACGUCGUACUCCCCAAUUCCAAAGACGACAAGGAGGGGAUCGUUGUGGGAAAUGUGAAUCCCUUCGGCGUCAUCAGGCGAGAAAGUUAUCGGUGGGUGACUUGGCGGCCUAAUCGGCCACCUCUGCAAAGUCGCAACUUGCCGGCGGUAAUCCAUGACGGAGCGAACAGAAUUUCUGCAGGGACGAGAGCCGCCCAUAAUGACAUUUAGUUGCUGUCUCGUUUUUACUCGCUUGGAGUCUAAGAAGGCGCGUAGGUCGGCUGAUACAUUGUUGUCGUUUUUCGACAGCGUAGUGUUGCUUGACGUCUUGGCUUGUUCCAACCGUCUUCUGAGGUCUGGGUUUCGAGCGAUUGAGAAGAAUGCGAAGAUCGCAUGCGCCAGCGUUGAGUUUAUCUCAAAGGUCACCGUUGGAGCACUCCUGAUGCUCUUUGGGGUCAAGGUCAUCCGUUGAGAUUCGGCGAGACUUCUUUGCAUCCAGCGUUAGCCGGAGAUCACUAUGCUUGGAACUGUUGUCGUCUUCGGACUCGAGCUUUCGUUUCAGAACAUCUCUCAGAUCUCCGAGUUUAGGUGUAUCGUCAUUAUCGUUGUCUGAUGAUAAGAUUUGCUGAGAGAGUAUAACCUCAAUGCGCCUGCGGUUAGCUGGAUGUUAUUCGUCGGCCGAGGAGUCUUCCUCGCCGUCAUAUUUCGAAGUUUUAUCUUCAUCUUUUUGCGUUUCGUUUUGGCGGCCUUUGUCGGUAGCUUUGCGCUGGGCUCUUCUUUCUUUAUUCUUGCCCCAGCUUUUACCAUUUUUGGGCUUAGCUUUUAGAGGUUCGAAUUGGAAGUCGCCGCUUGCGAGAGACGAGAGGUAGUGUGCGUAGAGCGACUUGCAUUCUGUUGUAUCAUGCCCUUUGACGUCGUGAUAUUUGCAAUGUUUGGUGAGAUCGACAGUUCUGGAAGAGCCUGCCGUUGGACCUGCUGCUGUUGCAGGUUGUGUCGUGCAAACAGUAUCGACUGGCUUGUCAGACGAGUCGAGCUCUCUGACCCAUUUGUUCCAACCUUCCCCGCGGACUACCAGAGUUGAGACCGGCACGUUAUUCUCGUUGACGACAUACAUAUAUCCAUCUUUGCGGCCGUUUUUUUCCCUAGGAGUGUGCUGGCGCGGUUCUUGUCGCGUGUUGGCGUUUUUCGCCGCUGGAGGAUUGCAUUAGUAUCUUCUUCCAUUCGAAUAAAGUUAUCCGAACGCGCGAUUGCGUCUUGGAGCGACGUAGUUGGAUUUUGGUAUAUGUCUUCUCGAAACUUUGAGCGAACCCACAAAGUGUUCCGUAGUGCGUCAAUGGCGAUGCCGACCGGGAUUUCAAUCCUCGAGACUACUGCCUUGAACUUCUCCAUGUUGAUGCAAGACUUUUCAAGGGUCUAAGAUCAAAUCAAUGUAGUAUAAAAGAUUGUCGAACCAAUCCUAAGUGAUUCUAAAGCAAAGGGAAUGCAAGUUCAUGCUUAAGCUAAGUGCGAUUCGGUUUUAAGAUGGUAUGAACUAAGAACUAAUAAGCUAAUGCAAUAAAGUAAUGAUCUUUCUUUCUCAAUUUGAAUCAAGAGGACUCAUGGGGCUAGGCAUUUGAUCUUGGGUGAUGUAGAUCCAAUCUAAGGGUGGCAAGGUAUCAAUCAAACACUUUCCUUAUGCCUAGACACUAAGCUAAACAAGCUCUAUCUCUAGAUGAAUGUUCUUUUGGUAAAGCAACUGAAGCAUCUAAUCUCUUAGGUUGAAUGUUACUAAAACAAACAUGGAGAACAAGUCUAAUAGCAAUCUUAACUCCUUUAGCAACUAAUCUCUUAGGUAAAGCAAGCUAAAAGCAUUGAAGAGUUGGUUCAGGUAUUUCAUCAUACACCUUGUGGGCAUGAAAUGCUUAGAGAUCUAUUUUAGUAUGAAGAUGACUAAAAUAGCAUUGAGAACCCUCAACAAGCAAGGAAACAAGUAAAUCUAACACUAAACACCCUAGAUCUUCUCUAAUCACCCUUAAUUACCCUAGCCCAUGAAUCCAAGAUUAGUUUACUCACUAAUAGAUAUGAAUAACCCCAAAACCAUGGAUGAUUCAAGGUUAAACAUGAUUAGAGAGCAAGAUAAUCAAGCAAAGAUAAAGAUAAGAACUUAUGAUCAAGAUAUGAUUUUUCAACUCAAAGUUAUUUUGUGAUUAGAUAGAAAAUAAGAUAUCCCCCACUUUGGGAUUACAUUAGUAUUUAUAUGUCUUUGGUAAAUUUAAUGGUUUUCAUUAAAAAGUUUAAAAAGCCUUUUAAAAAUAUUAAAAUUCGACUAAGGCAAAGACGCGACUCGGGUAGAAAUCACGGGCGACAACCCGAGUUGGUUUCCCCGCGUUGGACCGUCGAGCAGCUCUGUUUCAUGCGCGCGGGUAAUGGAACCCGCGGCCUUCACCCCGAGUCGAGACGUCGCGACUUCAGACAAUUCGUGCGCGCGGGUUCGGCUCCCCGCGUCUCUCGACCCCGAGUUGAGACGUCGACGCUCCCUCUUCUUCGUGCGUGCGGUUUCACGACCCCGCGAGCCUCCAACCCGCGUCGUCGAGCUUCAUUUCCUCCGUCGUGGUCAGCCACGAGUUCUCCCUCUCCACCGCAAUACACGCCAUCGUCGUCAUCAACAAGUCGCAGCUGUGGUAAGAAUCGCCGCUGUGGCCUGAGAUCGAGCCAUGACAGCUUGUCCUGAAGCGCCGGAGUGCUUCUCGCCGUCACAGUCGAGCUUCACCGUUGAGACUCCUCAUCGAAACUUCUCAUGUACAGGUCGUCGCCUCCUCGCCGUGAUCGGAUCUCCAGGCCGUGGUAUCCGCCACCACCGUCGCGCUCGUCGUUCUUCAGUCGCAGGAGAAAGCUCGAGGAGCAGCAAUGGUGGAAUUUGGGGUUUUUGCACUUAUGGUCCUUAAUAUUUCGAAUAAUUACGAUUUGACCCCAAAACUAUCAAAAUUGUAGAAACGUCCUUCUGAUUCUGCCUCUAAAUUUCCAAUUGUGCAUACCAGACCCUCAGUAUUUGCAGAAUGGUCCCCCGCCUCUUUAUAGUUCUCAGUUCGGCCCAUAACUUUGUAAAUUGCAUGAUUAACCUCACGAUUUCAGCCCAAACUUCUCAAGUGUGCACAUUAGCCCAUAUUUAUGCAAUUAUGCAUGUACAUGCAAUACUGAGACUUAAAUGCAACCUAGAAUGAUUAAAAUGAGCUAAAUAAAAUGCUAAAUAUUAUUUAAAUUAUGAGUUAUCACAUGUAGUCGCGGAGGCUCUGGUCUUUGGUUUGGUUGAGGUUCCACAGGCUGGAGGUAGUGGCGCUGCGCUUUGUGAACAUAAUAUACGUCUUGAGGAAAGCUGUUGAUAAGUCACGGAAGUUUCCGAUCGAGUUCUUCUCUAACUGGGAGAACCAGGUUAGGGCUUGCUCGUGGAGAGUCUCGACGAACAGUUGGCAGUAGCAUGCAUCCCUUUCUUCGUCGGAGAGUCGAGCCCGUGCCAUCGCGAUAUUAAAAGCUGCCAUGUGUUCUACCGGGUCUCCUCCGGGUUUGUACUCGGGUAGGCGCAGCUUCUCUAUCUUCCCGAGUUGCACACUGGUAAAUGCGCUCGUAAAGGGGGUGCGCGAUGUUGCUGCGAGUACGCUCUCGAUUUGUGGAGCCGCGCUAGUAGCCUGAUGAAUCUUCUCGCUCAUUUGCUGGAAGCUGAGUUUGAGCCUCCCUCUUCUUCGUGCGUGCGGUUUCACGACCCCGCGAGCCUCCAACCCGCGUCGUCGAGCUUCAUUUCCUCCGUCGUGGUCAGCCACGAGUUCUCCCUCUCCACCGCAAUACACGCCAUCGUCGUCAUCAACAAGUCGCAGCUGUGGUAAGAAUCGCCGCUGUGGCCUGAGAUCGAGCCAUGACAGCUUGUCCUGAAGCGCCGGAGUGCUUCUCGCCGUCACAGUCGAGCUUCACCGUUGAGACUCCUCAUCGAAACUUCUCAUGUACAGGUCGUCGCCUCCUCGCCGUGAUCGGAUCUCCAGGCCGUGGUAUCCGCCACCACCGUCGCGCUCGUCGUUCUUCAGUCGCAGGAGAAAGCUCGAGGAGCAGCAAUGGUGGAAUUUGGGGUUUUUGCACUUAUGGUCCUUAAUAUUUCGAAUAAUUACGAUUUGACCCCAAAACUAUCAAAAUUGUAGAAACGUCCUUCUGAUUCUGCCUCUAAGUUUCCAAUUGUGCAUACCAGACCCUCAGUAUUUGCAGAAUGGUCCCCCGCCUCUUUAUAGUUCUCAGUUCGGCCCAUAACUUUGUAAAUUGCAUGAUUAACCUCACGAUUUCAGCCCAAACUUCUCAAGUGUGCACAUUAGCCCAUAUUUAUGCAAUUAUGCAUGUACAUGCAAUACUGAGACUUAAAUGCAACCUAGAAUGAUUAAAAUGAGCUAAAUAAAAUGCUAAAUAUUAUUUAAAUUAUGAGUUAUCACAUGUAGUCGCGGAGGCUCUGGUCUUUGGUUUGGUUGAGGUUCCACAGGCUGGAGGUAGUGGCGCUGCGCUUUGUGAACAUAAUAUACGUCUUGAGGAAAGCUGUUGAUAAGUCACGGAAGUUUCCGAUCGAGUUCUUCUCUAACUGGGAGAACCAGGUUAGGGCUUGCUCGUGGAGAGUCUCGACGAACAGUUGGCAGUAGCAUGCAUCCCUUUCUUCGUCGGAGAGUCGAGCCCGUGCCAUCGCGAUAUUAAAAGCUGCCAUGUGUUCUACCGGGUCUCCUCCGGGUUUGUACUCGGGUAGGCGCAGCUUCUCUAUCUUCCCGAGUUGCACACUGGUAAAUGCGCUCGUAAAGGGGGUGCGCGAUGUUGCUGCGAGUACGCUCUCGAUUUGUGGAGCCGCGCUAGUAGCCUGAUGAAUCUUCUCGCUCAUUUGCUGGAAGCUGAGUUUGAGCUCGUCGAUCUCGCAUAUGGUUACGAGAUCUGAGCCUGCCGGGGAAGCAUCGGCGAGAAGAGUUUCAUUAGGUUCCGAGUCGUCUGAAAUGUGGUUGCCUCCCCUCGCCGUAGGGUUAGUGUUGAAAAGGCGACGGCGUAAGAAAUAUGCGGAGAUGGGUGGCGCGGCUUCAGGCGUAGGGGUUGGCUCUCCGCCUGGAGCGCCGAAGACGGCGUCGUCUUGAGCCAUGUAGAUCUAGAACGUUACUUUAGUCGGCCCCACGGUGGGCGCCAAUUGUUUGUACGGGAUUCAGUCGAUUGGGCUGAAAGAAUUCGAAAAAUGGGAUGACUAAAGACGUUUUAUUAGAUCUGGUAAAAGGGGUUACAAGAGUGACAAGAGAUCAAAGAAAACAGCCGGAGCUGGAAGAACGAGCCGGAAAAGAUACAAAUCGGUUCGGGGUAAAGGAAUGACUUAAACUCUAGAUCUAGCCGCCUCGUCUCUCUCCCCUCUUUUUGUUGCCCUCUCUUCUCUUCUUAUAGGCUUUCCUUCUUGCGUGCCCUAGCUCCCGUCUCCUUCUGGGCCCUUUUGGUGAGAAGGCCGAAUAUAUGGGCCUUGGUAGAUCCCCCUCGGACUGUGCGCUUUUGGUCGGCUUAGUCGACGGCUAGAGGCACUCUCGGACUGAGCCGACAGCUUUACUCGCUAAGCCAGAUAAGCUUGUGGCUUGUUGGGCUACAGAUCGUUAUUCGAUGGGCCUUGUGGAGGGAUGAAAUUCAUCUCCUACAGUGAUGAGUGGCAAAGAAAGGAGAAGUAACUUGUGUAUCAUCAGGUCCUUUCUCAGGUUUCAUCGCAAGACCUUUUCUUGCUUCAUUCUCAAUGUAGCAGCUUUAUAUUCUGCUCUCUCCCGGGUCUCUUCUUUAUUUUUGUGAUUCCUCUCUGCCUAAAUAGCUUUCUUCUCUGAAAACUCUUCCUCUUCUUUUGUCCGGUAUGUGGAAGCUUGGUUGUAAAAAAAGGAAACCAUGAUUCAAUGGAAAUUUUACUUGAAAAGUUAUCUGCAAUAAGAUGAUGCGUCAAAAUCGACAUAAAAAUUUUGAUCCAAAGAAUUGUCUUUAUCUCCAGGCCCCGUUUUGGCAACACGACAUCAAAAUCCUACAGCUUUCCACUCCGAUUCACAGCGAAGGCCAAUUGGUAGAGAAUAUGGCUAUGUGUUUAUGAUUGGAUAAUUUUGUUUGUUUGGCAAAAGAUUCAGAUGUGAGAAAAGGAUCGUGAAGAAAACAGUGAAACUGCGAUGAAUAAAUUUUGGAGAGGUUUAGAAGCCUAAAAUAAGAGAAGAGGAAACGAUAAUCCUAACGUGCGUUUGACAAUUAAUCGUGAGACAAAUGAUGUGAUGAUAUGGCAUAAAACUUGUGUACCAUAGGUUAAUUUAAUUUGCUGAGGUGGAUAGUCCCUAUUGGGAAUUUUUUUUUAAGUUGGUAUAUUAACUUUACAAAUUUUGUUUCCAUUACAAAUUCACAACAUUUACAAAAGUAACUUGCCAGAUUCUGAGACUCCCAGUUGUGUGUCGCAUCAUCAUCCCCCUCAGCCUACGACAGCCAGCAAACUUUGCCUGACCGCAGGGACAGAACACAAUAAGGAUCCGAAGAUUCCGGUGAGCGCAUAAGCAAUCGCACAGAAGGGAAGAGCCUCUGGCUCCUUAGCCGACAAAGCUGCUGUUCCAAGUCCAUGAGCACUGUCCAUAGAAACAAGAAAGUUAAUGUUUUUUUAUCUUAACAGCACUAAUGGUUAUCAAAGAACGCAGAUUCUGCCUAAUUCUGAUUCAAAAUGUGAAAGAGGAGUCACCUUGAAGCAGUUGCUAUCCCCCGAGCAAUUGGGUCGCGCAAACGCAGUUUGUCAAGAACAACUUGUACAAAGUUAGCUCCAAUCAGACCAGUCACAACGACUACAGCUGCUGUAAGAGACGAAUUGGUUCCUGAAAAUUUCCAAGAAAGUCGUUAGGAAAUGUUCUUUAAUGUACUCUGCGCAGGAGAAGAAUAAGAUGGAAUAGUAUUUUUAUACCUUCAAAGAGUGAUACAAUGCUAAGGGCCAAUGCAACCGUGAUGCAGCGAGGUAGGAUUGAAACCGUUAAAGAUGGUUCUAAACCGACUAAACGUCCAACAAGAGCAGUGGAAUAGAGCGAGAAUAGUGUUGAAACUAUCACAGAUGUGAAGAUCUCAGCUGCGUGCCUCUUCACGAGCUGAAGAUGACAAGAGGCAAAGCAAACAGAUCGUUACCAGCUUCCUAAAGCAAAACAUAACAUGUUUUUUUUGCUUCUGUUUUUUACCUUUCUUUGUUUAAACAUGGAGAAAGCGAAAGAGAGAAUGACAGAGCCAAGAAAACCCAUUAAUAUGUCACCAGCACCAGGAUCUGAUGCUACUUUGGUUAGGUAGUUUCCUGCAUCCAUUUAAAGAAUAGUUUUACAUUCUGGUUUAGGUCAUUUAAAGGGUUUCUCUAUUGUUUGUGUGACUUUACCUAAAACAGGAUCAAGUCCAGACCCUGAAGCAUAUCCAAAAGCUAGAGCAGCGAGUACCGAAGAUAGCGCGCAGCAGAUUAUCGGAUGGAAAACUUUCUUGAUAGAAGAUGGCAACCUGGAAAAAAAAAAAGAAAGACAAGACGAUGAGAAUAUAAAAUCAAGAGAGAGAGAGACUUUUUUUUUUUUUGACUGAAGAGAGAGAGAGACUUGAGAAUGGGAUUUGAAUAUUACCCUGAUCCCACAAUGUAACCUAGAACAGUUGAAGAAAGAAGGAAAGGGAGACAAGUUCUUGCACUUGUCCCAAGUGAUGUAGGGUAAAACAGAGCACCAACAAACGACACAACAAAGAUUCCACUCCAACUCCAUAGCUCAAGUGUUGAAAAUGGUGAAGGUUUUGACAUAGGCUCAGCUUCAGUCAUCUCGGUUUUCACCAUUUUUCUCACUGCUAUAGCUGUGAAACCUGCUACACAAAGAGACGCCAACCAUCCACCAGCUGUACAAGCAUUUGAUCACACAUUAGAUACACUUUAGGCCCCCACAUAUACAGCUAGGCGCUAAAAGGUUCGUCGCCUAACAAGCGCCUAGCGCAUUUUAUAACUCUUAACUAAACAAAACAGAAUGAACAGAAGAAGAACAAAAGAGUGAUUGUAUACCUACAAUGUAGCAGAUUUUGACGCCUGAAGCCGCCGGAAUAUCUCUGAAGGAGAGAGGGAGAACCACAAGAGAAGGGACGUAGAACAAAGGAAGCCAUCUCUGGAUGAACAGAAACGCAGGCUCGAAGAAGUUCAUCAUACCGGUCGCAGCAGCGGGAACAACGGAAUCUAAUAUCAUAAGAACGGAGAAAAUACAGAACAUCCCGAACAGAGCGCUAGGGAACUUGAUGGACGCUGCUACAAAAGCCUGUUUCAAGAACUGGUCUGCCGCAAGUAUGAUCCCAAGCGACACCAACAAGUGCGUUGUCGCAAACACCUUACGAGAGAUCGUUGCUGACGUGUUUUCUGUUCCUGCACCAUCCAUGGCUUGAGUUGAGAGUUUUCUACCGAAGCUCAUCUCUCGAGAACCCAUUUGCAGAAACCUCGUUCUCUGUCCAUCGGUUUUACGUAAUCUUGUUUGAUUUAACUUCUGGGUUGCACUAGAAUCGGAAGUCUUCCCAUUUUUCGAUUGGAAUAGGGUCUUGGGACAUGAAUGGCGGUUUCUUGAUGAAGAAAGAGCUAACGGAGAGAAGAGAGGGGUGACUAAAGGAGUAGCCAUGGAGGUGGAAACGACGUGGCUGUGAUUCUGCGGGACAACACAUCAUAGUCUUAUUCAUCUUCGUUUAAUUAAGGGAAAUGGAUUACGAGACUUUGUAUGGACAAGAGAGAAGGUUCUAUCAAUAAAGAGAUGACCGACUUUUGUCUCUUCGCCCACUUGUGCUGAGCCCNNNNNNNNNNNNNNNNNNNNNNNNNNNNNNNNNNNNNNNNNNNNNNNNNNNNNNNNNNNNNNNNNNNNNNNNNGUGUCUGUUCGUAAUCUAUUUUUUCACCGGUGAACUCUUCAUGUCCACAUCUUAAAUCGCUUGAUCAUAAAUGUUCCUGAUUUGUAGCCCCUAUAUAAACCCUAUAUAUAUGAUUCUCAUCUUUGAUGAACCCAAUCUGCAUCUCCACAAAACUCAUUGAUUCCUCUUAGAUUUAACCAACUUCUAGAAAAUGUUUCUCUCUGCCUCUCCAAUUUAUUAAACCGGCGUCUCGGCGUCCGUCACUCAACCUUCGAAUAUCUCCGUCUUGGUCGUAGUAGUCAGAGCAUAGCCUCUGGCUUCCUCGCUUCUGGGACUCCCUGAACUUCAAGAAAGACAGGGAGUUUGUGGGAAUCACGGUUCUCUUCCUUGAUGAAAAGGUAAGUUAAUCUUUGAUCUAUAACACUUAUUUAACAUAUUUGUUUUAAUUUAUUUCAUGAUUCUUUGUUGGAUAAUAUUAUUUGCAGAUUCCGUGAUUCAUGGGUUUACUCCCGUCGGACGUGCUAAUCAUUACAUGCCAUCUUUGAAAGCUGGUUCCAUUGUGAAAGUCGAUCGUGUUGAGGUUUGUAGGUGCUCAAGCAUGUACAAGAUAACUGAUCAUUCAUUCCUCAUUCGUUUCAUCUCACUAACCAUUAUUGAUGAAGUCAUCACGGGUGCUCCUGAGAUAAAUCUUCAGUCAAGAUUAGACUGUUCGACAAUCUCAAAGUGAUUGCGAACACAAACCUAGAACUUCCAGGUAUAUUAUCAUAUUGCAUCUGGGUUUAUAUUAUGUUUUGAUAUCUUAACUGAUAUUUAAACUCACAGAUGUGGUUGGGAAAAUUCAUUCUGUCCAGGGCACUGGCCUCACAGCCACACUAGGAGAUACAAGAGACAAUCCCAACAGACACAAAAGCGGCAACAACAUCUCCACCUGCUCACUCCUCUUGUCUUAUAAAAAUAGCUUAUAUGCUCAAUGUCAACAUGCCAACGCUAUUGUCUUCUUAUGAGAAAUACAUAUAUUCGUUUAAAACCCAUUAAGACCCAAAUACUAAUUGUCACUCAUUUUUCAAGUCUUCAUAUAUUUGUUUUAAAGGUCCGGUAAAAACAACAAGUUUAAAAGUAAAAAAACAUAUAACCAACAUAAUAAGAAUAAAACAAAUUAUUACUUAAUACACACAACUUACACAACUAAACUGGUGAAAAAAUAUCCAGAAACAAAUGGUACUCUCAACAACCUUAAUAUAAUUUAUGUAAUCUCAACUGUACAAGUAACAAAUUAAAAAGACAAACAAACAAUAAGUCUCAGUGACACAGCAAUCAACAACACGAACUAUAUCAAUCACAUUACUAACACAGUUUAGUUCUUCAUGAGUGGAGAACAGUGCAUACACAGUACAUCAUCACAACUCUAACCCUAUAACAAUAAAAAACUUAAAAAACAAUGAUCAACCCAAAACGCAAAAUUCACAGCUACAAUAACCCUAACAAAUA
This 44687-nucleotide long non-coding RNA is filed under the name Brassica napus (rape). Its description in RNAcentral is "long non-coding RNA (BNAP_LNC014220)". The stretch from base 11495 to 11601 matches the Rfam family "Plant small nucleolar RNA R71". Lineage: Eukaryota; Viridiplantae; Streptophyta; Magnoliopsida; Brassicales; Brassicaceae. The record is from RNAcentral.